RNAcentral lists this long non-coding RNA (60274 nucleotides) under Triticum aestivum (bread wheat). Its description in RNAcentral is "long non-coding RNA (TAES_LNC011847)". The record is from RNAcentral. Lineage: Eukaryota; Viridiplantae; Streptophyta; Magnoliopsida; Poales; Poaceae.
CGAUCUAGUUCCUCCGCACUUGUGCAGCCUGUCGAAAGUCCUGGUCUUGAGCCCGCGCAGCACUUCAGCAUUUGCCCUCUCCGCAUGACCGUUGCUUCUCGGAUGAGCAACAGAAGCGAAGCAGACCUUGGCGCCAAGAUCUUGGACGUACUGCAUGAAGGUGCGGCUCGUGAAUUGUGUGCCGUUGUCGGUGAUGAUCCGGUUAGGGAUCCCGAAAUGGCAAACAAUUGACUUGAAGAACUUGACUGCUGACUGUGAUGUCACCUUCCUCACUGGUUGCACUUCCGGCCACUUCGUGAACUUGUCGAUUGCAACGUACAAGUACUCAAAGCCCCCGACAGCUCGGGGAAAGGGGCCGAGGACAUCGAGCCCCCAGACCGAAAAUGGCCAGGAUAAAGGGAUCGUCUGGAGAGCUUGAGCUGGCUGGUGUAUCUAUUUGGAAUGGAACUGGCACACUUCACACUUGGUUACUUGUGCAGUUGCAUCCUGUAGGGCUGUCGGCCAAAAGAAACCUUGCCGGAAUGCCUUGCCGGCAAGUGCCCUUGCCCCAAUGUGGUGACCACAUAUGCCUCCGUGUAUCUCUGCCAACAGCUUUUGUCCGUCUUCCCGGCAAAUACACUUCAAUUUCACACCGUUGAGUCUUCUUCUGUACACUAUGUUGUCGACAAACUGGUACAUACUUGACUGCCGGGCUACUUUUUCCGCUUCUUCUUGCUCUUCGGGAAGUUCUCCUGUCUGAAGGAAACGGACAAUCUGCUGUGCCCAUGUUGGAGCUUGCGGCUCGACAACAAGGACUAAAGGCACAUCUGCUGCUGCGGGAACAUCCGCUUCUACGGUGAGAACCUGUGGCUCAGCCGGAGCUUGAUGUUCCCCGGCAAGCUUGCCGGAGCAAAACUUGUCGGGAGCGUCUGCUUCAACGGAACAAACCCUGAGGCUUGCCGGAGCAGACUGCUCCUCAGCGCUCUUGGUGUUGAUCUUGGGGACCUUCCUGGUGGCGGCUUCGGGGAGCUCUGCUGGAAAGUAGUCACCAGAAAUCAGCUUCCUCUUCUUGCUCUGUCCAGUCGAUGGCGUUACAGAUGGUUGAGUCAGCUUGAGCACAAAGAUCCCUGGUUCCACAUGUAACUUCAGUGCGGCACACUUUGACAGGCCAUCGGCAAUGUCGUUCUGAGCUCUCUGAACAUGCUCCAUCUGUAGGCCGUCAAAGUGCUCUUCUAGCUUGCUCACUUCAUUAAUGUAAGCUUCCAUCAACGGACUCUGAUAAUUCUUGUUCACUUGGCGGACGACAAGCUGCGAGUCACCCCUGACAAUGAGCUUCUUGAUCCCAACGUCUGCUGCGAUCCUAAGACCGGCAAGCAAACCUUCAUACUUUGUCGUAUUGUUCGUUGCUUGAUCCUUGGGAAAGUGCAUCUGGACUACGUACUUGAGGUGCUCUCCGGUGGGUGCGACAAUCAACACACCCGCACCGGCGCCUUGCAGCGAGAAGGCACCAUCAAAGUACAUGAGCCACUCUUUCCUCGCUUCCUUGACGAGGAUGCUCGUCUCUAGAGUUUCUUCAUCUGGUGUUGGCGUCCAUUCUGCUAUGAAUUCCGCCAAUGCUCUACUUUGGAUAGUUGAAGUGCUCUCAAACUUGAGGCCAAAGCUUGACAGUUCCAGUGCCCACUCGACAAUCCUGCCUGUUGCUUCUGGGUUUUGCAGUAUCCUCUUUAGCGGAAAACGAGUGACGACUGUCAUCUCAUGUGAAGGCCGAAAAGGAAUUUCUGCACACCAGAGUACCUUGACCUAGCCCCCUGCAGAAGGGAACUGACAAAGUAAACAGGGCGCUGCACCAUUAUCUUCUGCAUCUUCUCAGGCUCCUGCGCAGAUCCAUCCUUGUCGGGACCAGAGCUUGUCGGCGAAGCCCCUUGCUUGUCGCUGGAUGCAUCUGCCGUGGUUGCUGGCUCAUCAUCCGCCUCCCUUUCCGCCACUAACGCAGCACUAACCACUUGAUUGGUUGCCGCUAUAUAUAGCAGCAACUUCUCUUGUGGUUUAGGUGCGACAAGUGUUGGAGUGGAGGACAGGUGUCUCUUCAAGUCUUGCAGCGCAGCCUCCGCCUCCGGAGUCCAUUUCAUUGGACCUACCUUUUUCAAGAUUUUGAAAAAUGGCAGGGCGCGCUCAGCAGAUCUAGAGAUAAACCUGCUGAGAGCAGCCACGCAACCGGCAAGCCUUCGUACAUCCUUGACGCGCUUUGGUGCUUCAAUCUGCUCAAUGGCCUUGAUCUUGUUGGGAUUGGCUUCAAUUCCCCGCUGAGACACGAAGAACCCGAGAAGCUUGCCGGAGGGGACUCCAAACACACACUUCUCGGGGUUCAACUUGAGAUUGAUCUUGCGCAGAUUUGCAAAUGUUUCGUCUAAAUCUUGAAUUAGGGUCGCCCUGUCCAUGCUCUUGACCACUAUAUCAUCCAUGUAGGCUUCCACAUUUCUGUGCAUUUGCGGCUCAAAAGCAUGAUGGACUACCCUUGCGAAUGUUGAACCAGCAUUCUUUAAACCGAAGGGCAUCCGUACGAAACAGUAGGUGCCACAUGGGGUGAUGAAUGCGGUUUUCUCCUCAUCUUCUUCUGCCAUGAAGAUCUGAUGGUAUCCUGAGUAUGCAUCAAGAAAUGAAAGCAAAUCACAUCCAAUCGUGGAGUCAACAAUCUGGUCAAUGCGCGGCAAGGGAAAUGGGUCUUUUGGACAAGCUUUAUUGACAUCGGUAAAGUCGAUACAAAGCCUCCAUUUCCCGUUAGCCUUGCGCACGACAACAGGAUUGGCCAACCAGGUGGGAUGGAGCACUCCUCUGAUAAGGCCUGCUACUUCCAAUUUCUUGAUUUCUUCUACGAUGAAUUCUUGGCGCUCCACUGCCUGCUUCCUGACUUUCUGUUUGACGGGCCGCGCAUGAGGACAGACGGCCAGGUGGUGCUCAAUUACUUUCAUGGGAACACCGGGGAUGUCAGACGGUUGCCAUGCAAACACGUCAACAUUUGCCCGCAGGAAAGCAACGAGCGCGCUUUCCUAUUUAGGGUCGAGAGUGGCACUGAUGGUGAAGGUACCACUAGUGCCGUCCUCCUUGGCGGACACCUUCUUGGUUUCUGGUGGAGCUGCCAUUGCCUUCUUACACUUGCCGGUGGAGCUCGAUGGUGCGUCCUCGACGGUAGCGCAGCACUCUGAAGAGGUGCGCUUGCCGGAGUGGGCAUCAGAGCUCUUGCCGAACUUGGUCUUCUUCUUCCCCUCGGGAGCUUCAGCGGCAAGUGACUUGUGUUCUGUUGCGGCUGCUACUUCCCGGUAGAUCUUGUCGGCGCAGAUAAGAGCAUCCUUCUUGUCGCCAGGGACAGAGAUGACACUUAUCGGGCCUGGCAUCUUCAGUAUGUUGUAUGCAUAGUGAGAGGCUGCCAUGAACUUGGCGAGCGCUGGACGACCAAGUAUCCCAUUGUAAGGCAAUGGGAAGUCAGCAACGUCAAAAGUGACCCUCUCAGUCCUGAAGUUCAACUCGCUGCCAAAUGUUACCGGCAACGUGAUCUUUCCCUUCGGCUUGCUCCUUCCCGGGUUGAUUCCUUGGAACGUGCCGGUCUCUUCGAGCUCGCUGUCAGGGAUCUAGAGUUUCUGGAGCACCGCGGAGGAGAUCAGAUUCAAGCCAGCCCCGCCGUCAACUAACAUCUUAGUGACCUUGAGGUUGCGGAUAGUUGGUGAAAGCAACAUCGGCAAGCACCCGACCGCAGUUAUGCGAUCAGGGUUGUCCUCAAUAUCAAAGAUGAUAGGCGUGUUGGACCAUUUCAGAGGCUUGCGUGACUCGACGGGUGGUUCUGCUGCAUUAACUUCCCGCACCCACUGCUUGAGCUGGCGGUGCGAAGUAUGCAGAGAAGCACCAUCAUCAAUGCACAGGACCUUUGUGGCCUUCUGGAACUCCUGCUCAUCGGUCUCGUCAUCAUCCAUAUCUUCGUCGUCGUCGUCUUCAUCCUUGUCGCAGCCACGGGGAGGUCUGUCUCCUUGCCGCUGCUUGGCCUUGCCGCGGCGUCCUCCCCGGCUGGGACGUUUCUUGCCAGAUCCUCCAGCACCUUCCUGGGCUUUCUCCUUGUCGCGUCGCUCGUAUUCAGCCUUCUGCUGCUCAACAAGCUGCUCGACCUUCUUGCAGCUCUGGAGGUCAUGGCCCUUGGUGCGGUGAAUCUUGCAGUACUGCUUGUUGGUGCCGUCCUGCUUGUCGGCGGCUGCCACAGCCUCUGCGGCAGUCUCCUUGCCGGAGCCACCCGCUUUGGCUUUCUUGGCGCCACCUCGGUUGCCGGACUGCUCGACGACUAGCACCUCUUUGCCUUUCCUCUUCCUGUUGUUCCGCCGCCGGUUUUUCUUUGCCGGGGCAGCAUCUUCACUGUCAGAUCCUCCUACUACUACAUUCUCUCCGGGGAGUCUCCUCCCUUCCUCAGCACGUGCACACUUGUCGGCCAGGGCAUAUAGCUCACUAACGUCUCUGAUCUUGCACAUCGCCAUCUCCUCCUGCAUCCUGCGAUUCCGCAUGUUCUGAUGGAACGCGCUGAUCACCGCGGCAGGGUGGACAUCUGGGAUGUUGUGCUAUACGCUGCUGAAUCUCUGAAUGUACUUGCGCAAGGGCUCUCCUUCCUUCUGGGCGAGCAGAUGAAGGUCACUCUCUUGGCCAUGAGGCUUGUGGCCCUCUGUGAAGGCGCCGACAAACUGAUGGCAUAGAUCGGCCCAAGAGGAUAUGGAGUUGUCCGGCAAGUGCAUGAGCCAGGAUCUGACGUUGGGCUUGAGCACCAGCAGGAAGUAGUUGGCAAGGAUCUUGUCGUCCCGCCCCCAGCAGCUUGCACCGCAAUGGUGUAGAUGCUGAGGAACUCCGACGGAUGCGUCUUGCCAUUGUACUUCUCCGGUACGUCUAGCUUGAAGUUCUUCGUGCUGGGCCACUGGACUUGCGCAGCUCACGAGUGAACGCAGGGCAACCUACCGCGUACGGCAAGUCGCCUGGUUCCCCUGGCGCAUGCAAGUCAACAGAGGGCCCAACGCGCUUGUCGGAUUGACGUCGCGCUUCUCUUCAGCGCUCGAUGCGAGUACGAGCGUCUUCUUGCUGUCGAUCAUGAAGAACUUGGCGCUGAUCGCGACAAGCUCAUGGAUCCGACGAUGCGGUGGAGUCGCUGUCGAGGUGGAUCCGGCGAGUCGGCGAUCUUGGCCUUUGGGGUGGAGAUUGCAUGGUGGUUGCACCCCCACCAGUUUCGUCACCACCGGCUCGCGCCUGGCAAUCCUGCCACGGCAGCGACGUGCUCGGCUGCCGUGGAGUGUCGCCAUUGGCGUAGCCGAUGAGACUCUGAAUGGUGGCCCUCCAUUCGUCGAUCUUGUCCGACGUCGGAGGGUAAUCCAGGAGCAGUUGAGCUCGCGCCAAAGCUUCUGCCAGAGUGGUGGGUGGCAGUGGCGGACGGCGCGAGGAGCGGGAUGUGCUCGGACUUCUAACUAUGUUAGAAGGAGAAUUAUCCCGUCCGGGCGACCGUGUCUCGCUCGUGCUGGCACGUUGGCGUGCAUGCUGGUCUUGAGCGCCCCGGGAUCCACCAGCUUGAUCUUGGCCCAACAAACGUAUGGUACUGCGAGUACCAUGACGUUGUCGGUCCUGCGCCUCCUGAGAUGGGCGCGGAACAAGCACGGACGUCGAGGCCUGCGCCGCCUUGCCCUUGGACCUGGCAGCGUCGUGAUCUUCCUCGUCGACGUCCGUCCUUCCGUCGGCGUCUACCCCACCACCCAUUUGCUCCGGUGGCGGUGGGAUCGACGUGGACGGAACAGCUGCCUCCAAAGCCUUCUUCUUCGGUGGCAUGUCGAUGAUGAAAGUGAAGAUCUAGCUCGUGUGAACGCCGGAUCAGGUUCACACAACCUUGACGCCCCCUACCUGGCGCGCCAAAGAUGUCGGGGAAACUGAUCCACGAACACCUAUGGGACCGGCGGACCGAGCCCCUUUCGGUUCGGCGUGGGGCGGAGGUCGCACAAAGAGCAAAUCGAGGCGAGGCACACGAGCAGUUUACCCACCUUCGGAGCUCUCCGGAGAGAUAACACUCCUACUGCUGCUUGUCUGAUUGUAUUAUGUUCUUGCUCGAGAGAGCUAAGUGCUUUUCUGGCUUCCGAAUGAUCUGAACCCUUUCUACGUUGCGCAUGGGCCUCCUUUUAUACGCUAAAGGGGUCACCGAUAGGUGGCAACGUAGACGAGGGCAAAAAUGUAAAAAGAGGGGUGGUUGGUACAGCUACCUGUACAGCGUAUCCUACCUAACCCUGACGGCAGGGGACAAAGGCAGUAAAUGCCUGUCUGCAUCGCCCAAACAGUGCAGAAAGGUACCGUCAGGGGCGCCACCACCUGCCACGAUGGCGAUCUUGUCAGCAUCGCAUGCCACCGCGCACCCCUGGCUGCACAGCCUCCCACCACGCGUGCCUGGAAAAGCCUUCAGGGCGACACGUUGUUGUAUGCGCUGGAGCGCGGGCACAGAGUGGCCGCCUGCCGCGGCAAGCGCCUUGCCGCGGCCGUUGUCUUGUCGGGCCCGGAAGCUUGUCGCUCGCCGAACCUUGCCGGGACGCACGGCGCGUCGCGGCAAGUUCCUUGAAAUGCCUUGGUUGGCCUUCCCGGCAAGCUCCUCUUGCCGGGGCCUUGUCUCCUGAGCUUAAAUACUUUGUUCUUGCAUGGCUCCAAAAGGAACCAUGGAGGACCUUGGCGGUCGCCCGGCAAGCCUUGCCGCGGGGUUGCUGCAACUGCCCGUGCACAAGUUCGGGAUACUAGGGUACCCCUAUUCUAGUACACUGACAAAGGUAUUUUGGAUUUUAUAUAUGAUAGGAAAUAGACCCCGGGGCCAUAGUUUCACUAGAGGCUUCUCUCAAGAAAAUAGCAUAUGAUGGGUAAAUGAAUUACUUUUGGGCAAUUGAUAGAAAAGUGAAUAAUCAUGACGAUAUCCAAGGCAAUGAUCAUGUAUAUAGGCAUCACAUCCAAGAUUAGUAGACCGACUCCUGCCCGCAUCAUCUACUAUUAAUCCACACAUCGACCGCUAUCCAACAUGAAUCUAGUGUAUUAAGUUCAUGGAGAAACGGAGUAAUUCAACAAGAACAAUGACAUGAUGUAGACAAGAUCUAUUCAUGUAGGAAUAGCGCCCAUCUUGUUAUCCUUAAUAGCAAUAAUGCAUGUGUGUCUUGCUGCCCCUUCUGUCACUGGGAAAGAACACCGCAAGAUCGAACCUAUCACAAAGCACCUCUUCCCAUGGCAAGAAAAAUCGAUCUGGUUGGCCUAACUAAGCCAAAGAUUCGAAGAAAAAAUAUGAGGCUAUAAAUAAUCAUGCAUAUAAGAGAUCAAAGAAGACUCAAAUAAUAUUCAUGGAUAUAGAUCUGAUGAUAAAUUCAAAGUUCAUCGGAUCCCAACAAACACACCGCAAAAAGAGUUACAUCAAAUAGAUCUCCAAAAGACUACUAUAUUGAGAAUCAAAAGAGCGAGAGGAAUCCAUCUAGGUACUGCCUACGGACCCUUAGGUCUAUCGUGGACUACUCAUGCAUCAUCGGAGAGGCACCAAUGAGGAUGAUGAACCCCUCUGUGAUGGUGUUAGAUUGGAUCUCCUGGUUCUGGAACUUGCGGCGGCGGGAAUUGUGUUUCGUCGACUCCUCUAGGGUUUCUGGAAUAUUUGGGAAUUUAUAGGGCGAAGAGGCGGUGCAGGGGGGCUCUAUGGGGGGCACAACCCCCUGGGCACGCCUAGACUCCUGGGCACGCCCUGGUGGGUUGUGCUCCCCAAGGGCCUCCCUUCUGUUACUUCUUUGGCCCACUGGGUGUCUUUCGGUCCAAAAACUAUCUCUGAAAAGUUUUGCUACGUUUGGACCCCGUUUGGUACUGAUAUUCUGCGAACUAAAAAACAAGCAAAAAAAUAAGAACUGGCACUGGGCACUAUGUCAAUAGGUUAGUCCCGAAAAACUUAUAAUGUUGCUAUAAAAUGAUUGUAAAACAUCCAAGAAUUAUAAUAUAACAGCAUGGAACAAUAAAAAAUUAUAGAUACAUUGGACACAUAUCAGCAUCCCCAAUCUUAAUUCCUGCUCGUCCUCGAGAAGGUAAAUGAUAAAUACAGAAUUUUUUAUGUGGAAUGUUGCCUGACAUGUUCAUCACAUAUUCAUUUAUUUUGUAGCAUGGACAUUUGGACUUUUAUAUGGUUCAAAGAAAUAGUCUAGUUUUGACAUGAAGAUUUCAAUACUCAAGCAUAUCAACAAGCAACCGUGUGUUUCAAAAUAUCAAUGCUAAAUAAAGCUAUCCCUAGCACAUUAUGCUCAAUCAUUGAUCCAUUCAUCAAACACACUCAAAUAUUAGCUACAUCCAAUGCACAAGUAUGAAAAUAGUGUUCCCUAGUUGGUGCUUUAUAAAAGAAGAUGGACACUCAAUAAAAAUAAAUAUUGCAUAAAACUAAAUAGUUAGGCCCUUCGUGGAGAGAAGCAGAGAUUUGUAGAAGUGCCAAAGCUCAUAGUUUAAAUUAAGAGAUAAAAUUGUUUUGAGAGGAAUGAUUUUCUUGUCAACGAAAAUGACCGAGAAAUCCCUACAUCUUCCAUGCUAGGUAAAUCAUAGGCUGUUCCCAAACAUAAAAUAAAGUUUAUUUCCUUUUCCACCAUUCUUUCACAAUCUAUGGCUAGCUGUAUCCACGGGUGCCAUCCAUACCAACACUUUCCAAGGAAUUUAUUAUGAACAACAUAAAUAAAUAAAAUUCAUUAUGGGAUUGGCAUCCCUAUUAUCUGUCACACUCUCAUGCAAUGAAAAGUGAAUAAACACUCAUCUUGAUAAUAACAUACAUAGCAUGGAAAAUAUUGGCCACCCCAUGCCGCUUCGUGAGUGGUAGGGCACACAAAAAGGAAAUUCAAUUUGAAAAUUAGAGUUGGCACAUACAAAUUUACUUGGAACGGCAUGGAAAUACCGUAUGUAGGUAGGAAUGGUGGACUCAUUUGGUACAACUUGGUUUAGGAUUUUGGAUGCACUAGCAGUAUUCCCGCUUAGUACAAGGAAAGGCUAGCAAAUAGAUUGAGAAGCAACCAACCAAAAAACGAAAAUGAUCGUAAAUGAGCAUUAAACAUAACUAACACUGAAUAAUGCACCACAACUAGGAUGUAACUUCAUUGCAUAACUAUUGACUUUCUUGCUUGCAUAGGGAAUCACAAACCUUAGCACCAAUAUUCUUCCUAAAGCAUAAUUACUCACUAACAUGACUCGCAUAUUACUAUCUCCAUAUCGCUAAACUAUUGUAAGGAAUCAAGUUUUAAUAUCUAGUGAUCUUCAUGAAAGUUUUUAUUAUAUCCCUCUUGAAUAUCUAUCACUUUGGGACCAAUUUUCAUAUCUUCAGCAGAUUACCAUUGUUAAUAACAAGCUCUCAAACAAAUUUAAGUGAAGCACGAGAGCAUAAAUAUUUCUUCAAAAUUUCCAUCUCUCAAAUAAUAUAAGUGAAGCAUGAGAGGACAUUUCUCAAAAAAAUCGUGACUCUGAAAAUAAUCUAAGUGAAGCAUGAGAGUAUUUGUUCAAAAGUUAAACCACCACCGUGCUCAAAAAGAUAUAAGUGAAGUACUAGAGAAAUUCCAUAGCUCAAAAAAUUGAAGUGAAGCACAUAGAGCAAUUCUAACAAAUCAUAGCAUCAUUAUGGCUCUCUCAAAUAGGUGUGUCCAGAAAGGAUGAUUGUGACAAAAAUAAUGCAAAACAAGUAAAGACUCAUAUAAUUCAAGACGCUCCAAGCAAAACUCAUGAUAUGUGACGAAUAAAAAUAUAGCUCCAAUUAAAAUUACCGAUGGUCGUUAGAAGAAAGAGGGGAUGCCUUCUGGGGCAUCCCCAAGCUUAGUUGCUUGGUACUCCUUGAAUAUUUCCUUGGGGUGCCAUGGGAAUCCCCAAGAUUAGGCUCCUUUCACUCCUUAUUACAUCAUCCAUCGUGAUCUCACCCAAAACUUGAAGACUUCAAUCACACAAAGCUUAGAAAAACAUUUGUGAGAUCUGUUAGUAUAAUAAAACAAAUCACCACUUUAAGUAUUGUCGGAAACCCAUUCAUAUUUUAUUUUUGCAUUAAAUCUAUUGUAUAUAACUUUACCAUGGCUAAUACUCCCCGAUACAAUCCAUAGAUUCAUCAAAAUAAGCACACAAUGCAACACAAAAAAAACUGAACAGUUUGUAGUAAGCUGUCCUUUAGCCAUACUUUUGUAACUCUAAAAGUUUUGCAAAAUUAGGACAAGGUAGGCAACUUGUAUCAAUCUGGUGUAAAAAUAUAAGAAUUUUUAGUCACUUGAGUGAUUCUUAAAAAAAAUUCUACUGGACAUUAAAGUUUCUAUUUUCCAAUGGGAUCAAAUCAACUAUCACCCAAACCGUCCCAAAGGCAUUACUUGGUACAAACACUAAUUAAAACAUAAAAAGCACAAUCAUAACAGAAGCAUAAUUGUGUAAUUAUUGAAAAACUGAAAAGAAAUUAAAAUUUAAAAGAUAACUGUUGGGUUGUCUCCCAACAAGCGCUAUUGUUUUACACCCCUAGCUAGGCAUAAUGCAUAGAUUCAAGUGUUGUCUUCUUCAGUUUCCCACUCCUCAAUCACACAACCAUAAUUCCUUAGAGAUCUACCAUGCAUAUUUUCAAUGAUCAUGCUCCUAGGGAUAAAGUUAAAGAAUUCACUCUUGCAAGUAGGUUUCUUUAUCAAUUCAACAAAGUCGGGGUGAACACUAAUCAUUUUAGGAUCUUCAUUGUUGCAAUUAGAAGAGGCACCCUUGUCCUUAGGAGCAUGGGUAGGUUUGUAAUUCUUACUAGGAGGGGGUUUUGGAAUAGUUUUCAUGGAAGAAAAAGUUGAUAUCAAGUUACUAAUAACCCACAAGUAUAGGGGAUCGUAAUAGUUUUCGAGGGUACAACAUUCAACCCAAAUUUAUUGAUUCGACACAAGGGGAGCCAAAGAAAAUUCUCAAGUAUUAGCAGCUGAGUUGUUGAUUCAACCACACCAGAAAGACUUAAUAUUUGCAGCAAAGUAUUUAAUGGUCAAAAGUAACAGUAGCAGUUUUGUAGCAAUUGUAAUAGUGGCAACGAAAAAGUAACUUAGCAAAGAUCAGUAUGAAACGAGCUCGUAGGCAAUGGAUCAAUGAUGGAUAAUUAUGUCGGAUGGCAUUCAUCAUGCAACAGUUAUAACAUAGGGUGACACAGAACUAGCUCCAAUUCAUCAAUAUAAUGUAGGCAUGUAUUCCGAAUAUAGUCAUACGUGCUUAUGGAAAAGAACUUGCAAGACAUCUUUUCUCCUACCCUCCCGUCGCAGCGGGAUCCUAUUGGAAACUAAGGGAUAGUAAGGCCUCCUUUUAAUAGAGUACCGGACCAAAGCAUUAGCACUUAGUGAAUACAUGAACUCCUCAAACUACGGUCAUCACUAGGAAGUGUUCCGACUAUUCUCACUCCGUGGUUGCCAGAUGAUAACACGUAGUAGGUGAUUAUAACUUGCAAGAUAGGAUCAAGAACACACAUAUAUUCAUGAAAACAUAAAGGGUUUAGAUAUGAAAUCAUGGCACUCGGGCCCUAGUGACAAGCAUAAAGCAUAGAAAAGUCAUAGCAACAUCAAUCUUCGAACAUAAUGGAUACUAGGGAUCAAACCCUAACAAAACUAACUCGAUUACAUGGUAAAUCUCAUCCAACCCAUCACCGUCCAGCAAGCCUCUGAUGGAAUUACUCAUGCACGCUGGUGAGCAUCAUGAAAUUGGUGAUGGAGAAUGGUUGAUGAUGACGAUGGCAACGGAUUUCCCUCUCCUUAACCCAGAAUGGACUCUAGAUCUGCCCUUCGGAGGAAGAAUAGGGCUUGGCGGCGGCUCCGUAUUGUAAAAUGCGAUGAAUCUUUCUCUCUGAUUUUUUCUCCCCGAACGUGAAUAUAUGGAGUUGGAGGUGAGGCCGGGUGAUGUCCAGGGGGCCCACAUGACAGGGGGCUUGCCCAGGGGUAGGGCGCGCCCCCACCCUUAUGGAUAGCGUGUGGGUCCCCUUUGGUUGAUUCUUUCGCCAAUAUUUUUUAUUUAUUCCCAAACUGAUCUCCGUGAAGUUUCAGGUCAUUCCAAGAACUUUUAUUUCUGCAAAAAAAAAAUAACACCAUGGCAAUUCUGUUGAAAACAACAUCAGUUUGGGUUAGUUCCAUUUAAAUCAUGCAAAACAAGGGCAAAAGAGUUUAGAAAAGUAGAUACGAUGGAGGCAUAUCAAAUCCCCAAGCUUAACCCAUUGCUUGUCCUCGAGCUAUUCAGUUGACAAACUGAAAGUGAUAAAGAAAAACUUUUGCAAACUCUGUUUGAUCUUGUUGUUGCAAAUAUGUAAAGCCAGCAUUCAUGUUUUCAGCAAAGAUUAUGAACUAACAAUAAUCACAAUGACAUUUAGGUGUCACAUUUACUCAUAUCAAUGGCAUAAUCAACUAGCAAGUAAUAAUAAUAAAUCUGGAUGACAACACUUUCUCAAAACAAUCAUUAUAUGAUAUAACAAGAUGGUAUCUCCCUAGCCCUUUGUGAGACCGCAAAACAUAAAUGCAGAGCACCCCUGAUGAUCAAGGACUGACUAGACAUUGUAAUUCAUGGUGAAAGAGAUCCAGUCAUAGUCAUAGUCAAUAUCAAUUCAUAACAAUGCAUACAAAUGACGGUGGUGCUCUCUAACUGGUGCUUUUUAUAAUAGGAUGAUGACUCAACAUAAAAAUAAAUAGAUAGGCCCUUUGCAGAGGGAAGCAGGGAUUUACAAAGGUGCCAGAGCUCGAGUUUUGAAACAGAGAUAAAUAAUAUUUUGAGUGGUAUACUUUCAUUGUCAAUAUAACAACCAAGAGAUCUCGAUAUCUUCCAUGCUACAUAUAUUAUAGGAGGUUCCCAAAUAGAAUGGUAAAGUUUAUACUCCCCCACCACCAACAAGCACAUUCCACGGCUGGUCCGAAACAACGGGUACCGUCCAACUAACAACAAUCCUGGGGGAGUUUUGUGUGCGAUUAUUUUGAUCUGAUUUGAGCAUGGGACUAGGCAUCCCGAUUACUGGCCAUUUUCUCGUGAAUGAUGAGCGGAGUCCACUCAUCAUCAGAAUAACUCACCUAGCAUGGAAGAUAUAGAUAGCCCUAGUUGCUACAUGAGCGAUUCAAGCAUACAAAACAGAAUUUCAUUUGAAGGUUUAGAGUUUGGCACAUGCAAAUUUACUUGGAAUGACAGGUAAAUAUUGCAUAUAGGUAGGUAUGGUGGACUCAUAUGGAACAACUUUGGGUUUAUGGAAGUGGACGCACAAGCAGCUUUCUCGCUUAGUACAAGUGAAGGCUAUAAAAAGACUGGGAAGCGACCAACUAGAGAGCAACAACAGUCAUGAACAUGCAUUGAGAUUAACCAACAAUGAGUCUAAGCAUGAGUAGGCUAUAAAUCACCAUGAACAUAAAUAUUGUGGAGGCUACAUUGAUUUUGUUACAACUACAUGCGUGAACAUGUGCCAAGUCAAGUCACUCAAAUAAUUCAAAGGAGGAUACCAUCUUAUCAUACUACAUCACAACCAUUUUAAUAGCAUGUUGGCACUCAAGGUAAACCAUUAUAAACUCCUAGCUAAUUAAGCAUGUCAUGAGUAACUAUAAUCUCUAAUUGUCAUUUGCAGACAUGUUUCAUUCAUAAUAGGCUGAAUCAGGAAUGAUGAACUAAUCAUAUUUACAAAAACAAGAUAGGUCGAGUUCAUAUUAGCUUUUCCUCAUCUCAAUCAUUUCAUCAUAUAUCGUCAUUAUUGCCUUUCACUUGCGUGACUGAACGGUGUGGAUAAUAAUAAUAGUGCACGUGCAUUGGACUAAGCUGGAAUGUGCAGACAUUUAUUCAAAGGAGAAGACAAGGUAAUAUGGGCUCUUUGUUAGAUUAACAAUAAUGCAUAAGAGAGCCACUCAUCAUUUUCAUCGUGGUCUUCUCCUCUCGACCCCCAAAGAAAAGAAAAGAGAUUUCAAAGGAACACACUGGAAUGUUUUUGGAGUUUUUGUUUUUUUGAAGGAAGUAAAACAAGAACAAGAAAAACUAUUUACAUGGGAAAUCUCCUAACAAGCAAAAGAAGAGCGAGAAAUAUUUUUGGAUUUUCCUUUAAUACUACUACUAAGUAAACAUGAAAAGUAAACUAACUAGAAGCUACAACUAAUUUUUUUGGUUUUUCUCAAAAAAAUUCAAACACACAAGAAGAAAGCAGGAAAAGAACAUAAACUAGCAUCGAUAACACAAUGAAAAAGUAUGAACACCGACAACUAAAAUAAGUGUGUGAACAUGAAUGUAAUGUCGGUGAGAAAUACGUACUCCCCCAGGCUUAGGCCUUUGGCCUAAGUUGGUCUAGGGCUACCACUGGCCUGGAUGAUAUCCGAAAUCAUAGUUCGGGUCGUACUGUGUUGCGGCAGCUACCGCCUGAUGAUCUGCUUCCUAGAGGUGAGCGGCCUCUGUUGUUCUCUCAUACUCGUUUGCCUCCUCUCUAGUUAUAACAUAUCUCCAAUUUACCUGAAAGUUAAACAAGGCAGGAGCAGGAAGGGUAAUAUGGACAGCACGCCGUGUGUCAAAGAUUAGUAGGUACUGGAGGAACUGAUCGUUCCUCUCAAGAAACUGGUAACGAACCAUAGGACUAUAAUCUAGAAAAGUAGGUGGCAACUCAAUGUCAUUCUCUCUUAUGGAUACACCAAGAUAAUUAGCUAAACGAGUUGCAUAAAUCCCACCAAAUAAAUCUCCAUCUUUAGCAUUAAGAUGUAACCUCCUGGCAACAAUGGCCCCCAAGUUAUAUUGCUUAUCACCUAACACCGCACAUGUGAGGACACUAAGAUCUGGAACGCAAAGGUGGCUAUGAUCAUGCUUACCAUUAAUGCAUCUUCCUAUGAAGACAGCAAAGUAAUAUAUAGCAAGAAAGUGAAUGCUCCCUAUGGUAGCUUGUGUGAUAUUUCUAGUUUCUCUCACAGUGAUGCUAGCAAGGAAAUCAUUAUAUUCAGAUUUGUGAGGCUCACUAAGAAUGACCCACUGUGGGGUCUUGCAAGCAGUAUUAAAAUCUUCAAGGUCCAUGCUAUAUGAUUUAUCAUAAAGGUCAGAUAAACACUAUGAGUAUUGCGCUUAGAUGAAAGUUCAAAUCUCUGCACAAAGGAAUCAAUGAGGUAAUAGUAUUGUAGGCACUUAUCUGAUACGAAGUCCUCAAGAUCGGCAUUACAUACAUACGCAUCAUAAUUCAUCCUUGAAGCCUGCAUGGACCAUAAAUUCAGCAGAUGGCCAUUCACAAGGCUGCACUUGAGCUUCCCUUGGUGGUUCAAGGUCUGGAUCAUGUAUCGCGAGCCUUGGUGCUUGCUUCCUUGAAGAACCACCUUGGUACAUUUUCCUAAGCAUUGUUCUUCCUCUGAAUUUUUUUUUUUGAAAUUUUUAGUGACUGAAAAUAGAACUGAACCAAACUCAACAAGAUUGAUAGCAACUACUCCUACAAGUACCUAGAGGCUAUACAUGCAUCAAAACUUCUUUGGACCAUAUAAAUUUGACAUGCAAGCUAGAGAACAGGGUCACCUCAGCAGCAAAGAUUUGCAAUAAAUAAAGCACUAGAACAAAAACUAAUUGGACCAUUGGAGGAGUAACAUACCAAAGAAGAAUCCCUCAAAGCAGUUUUGUGAAUGGAGCUUUGAGCAAGGAGAUCAAAAAUGGCAGCAAAGUGAGCAAGAACACGGUUUUGAGCUACAGGAUGAUUUUUCUGGAGUAAGACAAAGUGGAUGGGUGCUGGAAUAAGUGCAAGGGACCCACGUGGGGCCCACAAGACAGGGGGGCGUGCCCAAGGGGCUAGGGCAUGUCCUCCACCCUUGGGUACAGCUGGUGCACCCCCCCAGGUGUGUUCUCAGUGCCAAAUAUUCUCAAAUAUUCUAUAAAAAAUCAUACUAAAUUUUCAGGGUAUUUUUUUAUUGCGAGGAUAAUUCAGAAAACAGACAGAAAAUACUAUAUUUGCUUUAUUUAAUCUAUAUAACAAAAAGUAAAAGGAGGGUACAGAAAGUUGUGCCUUCUAAAUUCAUCCAUCUCAUGCUCAUCAAAAGGAAUCCAUUACCAAGGUUAAUCAAGUCUUAUUAACGAACUUCUUCCGAAUGAUAUGAAACCGGAGAAUUUUCGAAUAAACUAGGUUAGCUCAACGGGGAUUUGCAUGUUCCCAAAUAGAAUGGUAAAGUUUAUACUCCCCCACCACCAACAAGACAUUCCACGGCUGGUCCGAAACAACGGGUACCGUCCAACUAACAACAAUCCUGGGGGAGUUUUGUUUGCGAUUAUUUUGAUCUGAUUUGAGCAUGGGACUGGGCAUCCUGAUUACUGGCUAUUUUCUCAUGAAUGAUGAGUGGAGUCCACUCAUCAUCAGAAUAACUCACCUAGCAUGGAAGAUAUAGAUAGCCCUAGUUGCUACAUGAGCGAUUCGAGAAUACAAAACAGAAUUUCAUUUGAAGGUUUAGAGUUUGGCACAUGCAAAUUUACUUGGAAUGACAGGUAAAUACCGCAUAUAGGUAGGUACGGUGGACUCAUAUGGAACAACUUUGGGUUUAUGGAAGUGGACGCACAAGCAGCUUUCCCGCUUAGUACAAGUGAAGGCUAUAAAAAGACUGGGAAGCGACCAACUAGAGAGCAACAACAGUCAUGAACAUGCAUUGAGAUUAACCAACAAUGAGUCCAAGCAUGAGUAAGCUAUAAAUCACCAUGAACAUAAAUAUUGUGGAGGCUACAUUGAUUUUGUUACAACUACAUGCGUGAACAUGUGCCAAGUCAAGUCACUCGAAUAAUUCAAAGGAGGAUACCAUCUUAUCAUACUACAUCACAACCAUUUUAAUAGCAUGUUGGCACUCAAGGUAAACCAUUAUAAACUCCUAGCUAAUUAAGCAUGGCAUGAGUAACUAUAAUCUCUAAUUAUCAUUUGCAAACAUGUUUCAUUCAUAAUAGGCUGAAUCAGGAAUGAUGAACUAAUCAUAUUUACGAAAACAAGAUAGGUCAAGUUCAUAUCAGCUUUUCCUCAUCUCAAUCAUUUCAUCAUAUAUCGUCAUUAUUGCCUUUCACUUGCGUGACUGAACGGUGUGGAUAAUAAUAAUAGUGCACGUGCAUUGGACUAAGCAGGAAUGUGCAGACAUUUAUUCAAAGGAGAAGACAAGGUAAUAUGGGCUCUUUGUGAAAUUAACAAUAAUGCAUAAGAGAGCCACUCAUCAUUUUCAUCGUGGUCUUCUCCUCUCGACCCCCAAAGAAAAGAAAAGAAAUUUCAAAGAAACACACUGGAAUGUUUUUGGAGUUUUUGUUUUUUUUGAAGGAAGUAAAACAAGAACGAGAAAAACUAUUUACAUGGGAAAUCUCCCAACAAGCAAAAGAAGAGCGAGAAAUCUUUUUGGAUUUUCCUUUAAUACUACUACUAAGUAAACAUGAAAAGUAAACUAGCUAGAAGCUACAACUAAUUUUUUUGGUUUUUCUCAAAAAAAUUCAAACACACAAGAAGAAAGCAGGAAAAGAACAUAAACUAGCAUGGAUAACACAAUGAAAAAGUAUGAACACCGACAACUAAAAUAAGUGUGUGAACAUGAAUGUAAUGUCGGUGAGAAAUACGUACUCCCCCAAGCUUAGGCCUUUGGCCUAAGUUGGUCUAGGGCUACCACUGGCCUGGAUGAUAUCCGAAAUCAUAGUUCGGGUCGUACUGUGCUGCGGCACCUACCGCCUGACGAGCUGCUUCCAGGAGGUGAGCGACCUCUGUUGUUCUCUCAUACUCGUUUUCCUCCUCUCUAGUUAUAACAUAUCUCCAAUUUACCUGAAAGUUAAACAAGGCAGGAGCAGGAAGGGUAAUAUGGACAGCACGCCGUUUGUCAAAGAUUAGUAGGUACUAGAGGAACUGAUCAUUCCUCUCAAGAAACUGGUAACGAACCAUGGGACUAUAAUCUAGAAAAGUAGGUGGCAACUCAAUGUCAUUCUCUCUUAUGGAUACACCAAGAUAAUUAGCUAAACGAGUUGCAUAAAUCCCACCAAAUAAAUCUCCAUCUUUAGCAUUAAGAUGUAACCUCCUGGCAACAAUGGCCCCCAAGUUAUAUUGCUUAUCACCUAACACCGCACAUGUGAGGACACUAAGAUCUGGAACGCAAAGGUCGCUAUGAUCAUGCUUACCAUUAAUGCAUCUACCUAUGAAGAGAGCAAAGUAAUAUAUGGCAAGAAAGUGAAUGCUCCCUAUGGUAGCUUGUGUGAUAUUUCUAGUUUCUCUCACAGUGAUGCUAGCAAGGAAAUCAUUAUAUUUAGAUUUGUGAGGCUCACUAAGAAUGACCCACUAUGGGAUCUUGCAAGCAGUAUUAAAAUCUUCAAGGUCCAUGCUAUAUGAUUUAUCAUAAAGGUCAAAUAAACACUAUGAGUAUUGCGCUUAGAUGAAAAUUCAAAUCUCUGCACAAAGGAAUCAGUGAGGUAAUAGUAUUGUAGGCACUUAUCUGAUACGAAGUCCUCAAGAUCGGCAUUACAUACAUACACAUCAUAAUUCAUCCUUGAAGCCUGCAUGGACCAUAAAUUCAGCAGAUGGCCAUUCACAAGGCUGCACUUGAGCUUCCCUUGGUGGUUCAAGGUCUGGAUCACGUAUCGCGAGCCUCGGUGCUUGCUUCCUCGAAGAACCACCUUGGUACAUUUUCCUAAGCAUUCUUCUUCCUCUGAAAAAUUUCUGAAAUUUUUAGUGACUCAAAAUAGAACUGAACCAAACUCAACAAGAUUGAUAGCAACUACUCCUACAAGUACCUAGAGGCUAUAUCAUGCAUCAAAACUACUUUGGACCAUAUAAAUUUGACAUGCAAGCUAGAGAAUAGGGUCACCUCAGCAGCAAAGAUUUGCAAUAAAUAAAGCACUAGAACAAAAACUAAUUGGACCAUUGGAGGAGUAACAUACCGAAGAAAAAUCCCCCAAAGCAGUUUUGUGAAUGGAGCUUUGAGCAAGCAGAUCAAAAAUGGCAGCAAAGUGAGCAAGAACACGGUUUUGAGCUACAGGAUGAUUUUUCUGGAGGAAGACAAAGUGGAUGGGUGCUGGAAUAAGUGCAAGGGACCCACGUGGGGCCCACAAGACAGGGGGGCAUGCCCAAGGGGCUAGGGCGUGCCCUCCACCCUUGGGUACAACUGGUGCACCCCCCCCUGGUGUGUUCUCAGUGCCAUAAAUUCUCAAAUAUUCUAUAAAAAAUCAUACUAAAUCUUCAGGGCAUUUGGAGAACUUCUAUUUUCAGGGUAUUUUUUUAUUGCGAGGAUAAUUCAGAAAACAGACAAAAAAUACUAUAUUUUCUUUAUUUAAUCUAUAUAACAAAAAGUAAAAGGAGGGUACAGAAAGUUGUGCCUUCUAAAUUCAUCCAUCUCAGGCUCAUCAAAAGGAAUCCAUUAACAAGGUUGAUCAAGUCUUAUUAACGAACUUCUUCCGAAUGAUAUGAAACUGGAGAAUUUUCGAAUAAACUAGGUUAGCUCAACGGGGAUUUGCAUGUCCCCAACAAUAAGAAUAUCAUAUUUCUUUUUGACAGUAGGAAGAGGGAAUUCAAAACCUCCAAUAGUAAUAGUUGAAAUUUUUCCAAUAGAAUUGAUACUCUGAACUUGAGGUUGUUUCUUUGGAAAGUGUAACGUAUGCUCAUUACCAUUAACAUGAAAAGUGGCAUUGUCCUUGUUGCAAUCAAUAACAGCCCCUGGAAUAUUCAAAAAGGGUCUACCCAGAGUGAUUGACAUACUGUCGUCCUCGGGAAUAUCAAGAAUAACAAAGUUUGUUAAGAUAGUAAUGUUUGCAACCACAACAGGCACAUCCUCACAAAUACCGAUGGGUAUAGCAGUUGAUUUAUCAGCCAUUUGCAAAGAGAUUUCAGUAGGUGUCAACUUAUUCAAAUCAAGUCUAUGAUAUAAAGAGAAAGGCAUAACACUAACAACGGCUCCAAGAUCACAUAAAGCAGUUUUAACAUAAUUUCUUUUAAUGGAGCAUGGUAUAGUUGGUACUCCUGGAUCUCCAAGUUUCUUUGUUAUUCCACCCUUAAAAGUAUAAUUAGCAAGCAUCAUGGAAAUUUCAGCUUCCGGUAUCUUUCUUUUACUAGUGACAAUAUCUUUCAUAUACUUAGCAUAAGGAGGCAUUUUAAGCAUAUGAGUCAAACGCAUACGCAAGAAGAUAGGUCUAAUCAUUUCAGCAAAGCGCUCAAAAUCCUCAUCAUCCUUUUUCUUGGAUGGCUUAGGAGUAAAAGGCAUGGGUUCUGAACCCAUGGUUCUCUUUCUUUAACGUGCUUCCUAGCAACGAAGUCUCCCUUAUCAUAAUGUUGAUUCCUUGAUUGUGGGUUAUCAAGAUAACAACAAGUUCAACUUCUACAUCGUUAUCAUUACUAGGUUGAGCAUCAACAUGAACAUCAUCAUUAACACUAUCACUAGGUUCAUGUGCAUCACCAGAUUGUGUCUCAGCAUCAGAAAUAGAAAUAUCAUUAGGGUUCUCAGGUGUGUCAAUAACAGGUUCACUAGAAGCAUGCAAAGUCCUAUCAUUGUUCUUUUUCUUUUUAUUAGAGGGACUAACUCUCUGAGAGUCUUUCUCAGCUCUCUUAGGAUGGCCCUUAGAAUACAAAGGUUCUUGGGUCAUUUUACCACCUCUAGUCAUAACUCUAACAACAUUAUCACUGUUCUUCUUAUUUAACUCAUUGAGCAAAUCAACUUAUGCCUUAAGUAAUUGUUCUACUUGAGUUGUAACCAUGGAAGCAUGUUUACUAAUAAGCUUAAGAUCACUUUUAACUCUAGACAUAUAAUCACUCAAGUGUUCAACCAUAUAAGCAUUAUGUUUCAAUUUCCUAACAACAUAAGCAUUGAAGUUUUCUUGUUUAACAAUAAAGUUAUCAUCAUCCAAGCAUUGACAAGCAGACUUAUUAUGAGUAAUAUCACCUUCAUCAAAUCUAUAGAGAGAAAUUACCUUUACUACCUAUGUCGGGUUAUCAAGACCAUGUAUUUCUUCAAUAGGAGGUAAAUUCUUAACAUCUUCAGUGUUAAUACCUUUUUCUUUCAUAGAUUUCUUUGCCUCUUGCAUAUCUUCAGGACUGAGAAAUAGAAUACUACUUUUCUUCGGAGUUGACUUAGGAGUUGGCUCAGGAAGUGUCCAAUCAUUAUCGCUACUCAAUAUAUUAUUCAAUAGCAAUUCAGCUUGAUCAGCAGUUCUUUCCCUAAAAACACAACCAGCACAACUAUCCAGGUGGUCUCUGGAAGCAUCGGUUAGUCCAUUAUAAAACAUAUCAAGUAUUUCAUUUUUCUUGAGAGGAUGAUCAGGCAAAGCAUUAAGUAAUUGGAGAAGCCUCCCCCAAGCUUGUGGGAGACUUUCUUCUUAAAUUUGCACAAAGUUAAAUAUUUUCUGUAAGGUAGCUUGUUUCUUAUAAGUAGGAAAAUAUUUUGCAGAGAGUAGUAAAUCAUAUCCUAGGGACUACGCACACAACCAGAAGCAAGAGAAUUAAACCAUAUCUUAGCAUCACCCAUUAAUGAGAAACGAAACAACUUAAGAAUAUAGUAAUAGCGAAUUUUUUCCUCAUGAGUAAAUAGGGUGGCUAUAUGAUUCAUUUUAGUAAGAUGUGCCACAACAGUUUCAUAUUUAUAACCAUGGAAAGGAUCAGAUUGAACCAAAGUAAUUAACUCAGGAUCGACAGAGAAUUCAUAAUUCGCAUCAGUAACACAGAUAGGUGAAGUAGCAAACCCAGGAUCAUAUUGCAUUCUAGCAUUCAAAGACUUUUCAUUCAGCUUAGCUAACAGUUUCUUAAGAUCAUAUCUAUCAUUGCAGGCAAAAAAGUCUCUAGCAGUUUCUUCAUCCAUAAUAUAACCCUCAGGUACAACAAGCAAUUCAUAUCUAGGGGGAGAAUCUUCGUCAUUAGAUUCAACAAUAUCAUCAGGUUCAGUAAUUUCAUUCUCCCUAACCCUAGAAAGUUGUUCAUCAAGAAAUUCACCUAGUGGCAUAGUAUUAUCAAGCAGAGAACUGGUAUCAUCAAAAGCAUCAUGCAUAGCAGAAGUGGCAUCAUCAAUAACAUGCGACAUAUCAGAAUCAAUAGCAGGUGUAGGAGUCACAAGUUUACUCAAAAUAGAAGCUGAAUCAAGUGAAGAGCUAGAUGGCAGUUCCUUACCUCCCCUUGUAGUUGAGGGGAAAAUCUUGGUUCUUUGGUCUUUCAAAUUCCUCAUAGUGAUCAACAGAUAUAAAUCCCAACUGACUCAGAGAAUAGAGCUAUGUUCCCCGGCAACGGCACCAGAAAAUGGUCUUUAUAACCCACAAGUAUAGGGGAUCGCAACAGUUUUUGAGGGUAAAGUAUUCAACCCAAAUUUAUUAAUUCAACACAAGGGGAGCCAAAGAAUAUUCUCAAGUAUUAGCAGCUGAGUUGUCAAUUCACCCACACCUGAAAGACUUAAUAUCUGCAGCAAAGUAGUAUGGAAGCAACGGUAACGGUGGUAAAAGUAAUAGUAGCAUUUUUGUAGCAAUCGUAACAGUGGCAACGAAAAGUAACUUAGCAAAGAUCAGUAUGAAACGAGCUUGUAGGCAAUGGAUCAAUGAUGGAUAAUUAUAUCGGAUGGCAUUCAUCAUGCAACAGCUAUAACAUAGGGUGACACCGAACGAGCUCCAAUUCAUCAGUAUAAUGUAGGCAUGUAUUCCGAAUAUAGUCAUACGUGCUUAUGGAAAAGAACUUGCAUGACAUCUUUUGUCCUACCCUCCUAUGGCAGCGGGGUCCUAUUGGAAACUAAGGGAUAUUAAGGCCUCCUUUUAAUAGAAUACCAGACCAAAGCAUUAGCACUUAGUGAGUACAUGAACUCCUCAAACUAUGAUCAUCACCGGGAAGUGUCCCGACUAUUGGCAAUCCGGGGUUGCCGGAUCAUAACACGUAGUAGGUGACUAUAACUUGCUAGAUAGGAUCAAGAACUCACAUAUAUUCAUGAAAACAUAAAGGGUUCAGAUCUGAAAUCCUGGCACCCGGGGCCAAGCGACAAGCAUUAAGCAUAGGAAAGUCAUAGCAACAUCAAACACUAAUAAACUAACUCGAUUACACGGUACAUCUCAUCCAACCUAUCACCAUCCAGCAAGCCUACGAUGGAAUUACUCACGCACGGCAGUGAGCAUCAUGAAAUUAGUGAUGGAGGAUGGUUGAUGAUGACGAUGGCGAUGGAUUCCCCACUCCGGAGCCCCAAACGGACUCCAGAUCUGCCCUCCCGAGGAAGAACAGGGCUUUGCAGUGGCUCCGUAUCGUAAAACGCAAUGAAUCCUUCUCUCUGAUUUUGUUCUCCCCGAACAUGAAUAUAUGGAGUUGGAGUUGAGGUCGGUGGAGGUCCAGGGGGCCCACAAGACAGGGGGCGCGCCCCCCACCCUUAUGGAUAGGGUGUGGGUCCCCUGUGGUUGAUUCUUUCGCCAAUAUUUUUUAUUUAUUCCAAAACUGAUCUCCGUGAAGUUUCAGGUCAUUCUGAGAACUUUUAUUUCUGCACCGAAAUAACACCAUGGCAAUUCUGUUGAAAACAGCAUCAGUCCGAGUUAGUUCCAUUCAAAUCGUGCAAAUUAGAGUCCAAAAUAAGGGCAAAAGAGUUUGGAAAAGUAGAUACGAUGGAUACGUAUCAUCUACUAAAAAUUUCUUCCAAUUUAUCAAUCCGAGCAGGGAUCUCCUCUACCCUUUUGUUAACUAUGGGUCUUUUCUCUUUUAGUAAUUUCAGAGUAUCUCUGUGGCACCCCGGCUCAGAGAAAUCGAAACGCGUCGUAUUCCAGCCCAGUGAUCAAGGUGAAGUCUUCUGGAAUACGACACUGCUUAACAUAGAACAAACCAGCUCUCUAUUACAACACGGAUACAAAUACAAGGUCUCCGAUAUUACAAUGAAUAACAUCGGCCUGGCAACACUACACCAACCAUAGUUUCUCUAUGCAAGCAGCAUAACAACUCGGGGCAGCGGAACCUCUACUGGCAGCGGAACUGCUCUUGGCAGCGGAACAACGAACGACAAUGAUGGACUCCAAUCCGCAGGGACCCUGGCUGGAACGUUUAUCCUAGCUCGCGAACAUGGGAACCACACCAAACAAGCAAGCAAUCUAGGCAUGAUGUGAAAACUAGCAUGACACUCCAGGUCAGUACAUUGAAUGUACUUGCAAGCUCACAAUAACCAAAAGAAGUCAAGACAAACAACAACAUGGCAUUAGCAGGUGAAAACAAUCAUGAACAUGAUACUAGCAGAACAACAUGGCAUGCACAAUGAAACAUGAUACAAUUUUAACAUGGCAUGAUCAUAUGAACAUGAUGAUACUACAUGCAACAGGUUAACAUAACCAUGCACCAACCUACUUUGCUCAGGUUACCUCGUAAACAAAACAUGCAUUACUUACCACCGUGGACAUCGCACGAUCAUCUCAGGAUCAAAUCAAGCUUGGUAUAACAAUACUGUAGUAACCAUUACAUGACCACAAGGAGCUUGACCUUUACCCGUGAUUCUCGCAUGACACCACAAAUAUCCAACAACUUGGUAUCCCCGAUACCACGGUGAUCCUCUCACGAUUACAUAAAGAUCAACCAACUUAUUUCAUCAUCAUACCAGGGUUGUUAUAAAACACAUCAUUAUUAUUACUGUUGACCCAUAGUGUGACCAACUUCGAACUGGGCCCAUAUCCGCAGGCGCGGCUAUCGAUAGAUUUAACACACACACUCUACAGAGGUUAGCACACUAUGCCCACACCACGGAACCCAUGGCCUCGCACUCCCAUUCGGGUGGACCAACGGUGUUCCAACCAAACUUCUCUAUUUCCCAUGACACUCUCCCGGCCACUCCGACCAACUCCCCUCUGGGCUAAGUCAUGAGUGGCCCCGUGCCUACCAAAGGCAUCAACGACCACCAUCAUGGCAAAACAAAUGGUCCCAAACGGGACAUGAGCUCAAAACCAAACAUGAGCACACAAGGCUUAUGUCAUCCUACUCGGCCAAGGUAGCGCCCGUGCAUAACCUUCCCUCUUUGGAGGCACCGACGAGAGGCAUGACAAUAGACCUAGUUAGGACCUUCCCACAAAAGGAAAUGUGGUUCCACUUGUCAGCUCGAUUCAGUGGCACCAUGACUCAGCCAAUAGUUGUUUAAGUUCAAUUAAGUCCAAUUAAACUUGAAUGCAAUAAGCUGAGUCAUAUUAAAAAUAACAUGAUGCAACUACAAUACAUGAGCAUAAUACCAACAUGAGCAUGGAUGUGCAACCAUAAUAAAUCACUGAGCAUAACAACAAUGAAGCAUAUAUCCUACUAAGCAUGGCAUACUCGCGAGCAUGAAUAACACAAACAUAGCUCUAUCAUAAGAAUAGCAUGACCACUAGCAUCAUAAAUAAAUACCAUGCAAGAACAUAAUGGCAAUACUACUAGGUGAGCAUAAACCAACUAGAUGCAACAAAAUAUGCAUAUCAACGGUACUCGGUAACAGACGAUAGUCAUGCACCAAAGAACAUAACCAACACCAACAUGAACUACUAGCAAGCAUGAACAUAUGAAAGUAAUACUAGCAAGUAGAUCAUGAUAACCGAGUGCAAGAAAACAUAGCAUGACGGUAACCACCGAUCCAUAAGGAUAACCGAAAUAACGACAGCCGAAGCAAAACAAACAAACGAUUAUUAAAGAUUCAAGUUGAAGACCAAUGGUACUGCAUGGGUAUCAUGCAAAUGGUGGUUCUGGCUUGCCUGGGGGUGACGAGACUCCGGGAAGAAGUGCGGUGAAACCACGGAAACAAAACACGGGAUGGUUCUCUCUCAGAGGGAGCUGAUUAGUGGCAAGGGAAAAAUGGUCAUUUUCACUAUGGGACAACCUAGUGAAAAUGUUACCAAUAGAAAGAGCUCGACGAGACGAAGACGUGAGCUUUGUUUCACCUAGAUCAGAGCUACGGUUGAAAAGUUGUGAGGGGUUGAAGUUCAGGGACCAAUCUGUAAAUGUUUUCAUUACCAAUAAGUUCCUGGCGGCUGAAAAUAGAAAACACCUUUGAGCAGAUUGCAUAUUCUGCAAUAGAAAGCGUAUUUUUAGCCGCAACCGAAGCAUAAUACGCUUUCCAACUUGGAAAAUGUAUUUCCAAGAAAUACGUUUCAACUUACACACGUGGACCAGGGUGGGAGAGGCUUACAGGCGGCGUCCACGCGACAGGAGGAGGGGGCCGACUGGAUCGCCUUCUUCCCCGCGCAUUUGUUCCUCUCGUGAACAGAGGAGGAGCAGGGCAGGGAAGUAGCCAAGGGGCCGGCCAGCUCCGACGAUCCCUGGCCCGACCGAGGGCACCCGAGGGACCGCGGGGCUGCGCCACACCCGUUCAGGGGCAAGGGAGGCGCCGGGGAGGAGUAGGAUGGAGGGGAGAGGUGGUGCCAGGAGGAGGACCGGGACGAGCGGGUGGUGGUGCUCUCCAGUGAAGCAGGCACUCCAGCGAGGGGGCAAGUGGGUAGGGCGACUCGAGGGGAGGAGGGGGACUCGGUGGACAUGGAGGCGAGGCAAGGGGAGGCCUGGGCGGCUCGACUACGAGCUAGACCUGGGCGUCCAUGGCGGACGAGGAGGAAAACGGUGAAGGGAGGGGCUGCUCCGGUGGCCGGGAAAGCUUGGGGAGAGGCUUGGGAGCUGCAGGAGAGCAUAGGGGUCCUUAUAUAGGCGCGGGAAGGCUUCGGGAGAGCUCGAGGGAGCUCUAGCUCGCUGCCAAUGGAGGGCCAAAGCAUGGACGCGUCACAGGGAGCUCGACGGCGACCACACCGUAGUGACUUAGGGCGGGGCAGCGAUGCAGAAUGAUGCAGGGGCUCACGGGCUAUCUCCAGGACAUGAAUUGAGGUCGAGACGAGGAGGAAGGUGACGGGAACAGGGCGGAAGACUCGAGAGAUUGCAAUCUGCAUGAUGCCAGCGUGAUCACCACGCGCACUAGAGCAAACUGCUAGUUUUGGCCAGGCCGACCAUGUCUAGUAGAAUGACCACGAUACCCUGAGCCUAAACAAAGCAAUAAGUUGGUUCAGGGGCAAAGAAGAGAAAAGUAGGAUAAGCCAAAACAGAUCAGCAGCAACCUAUUUGUGUUGUCUAGACGGGACACGAACUUGGCAAAUAAGGAACUGAUUUGUCUGGUGUUUAUCACACACUAAGGUGACUUUGAUCAUCAAAAAUAAGCUUAAGAGGAAGAGUUUAGAGGGUGGUUGUUGUAGAAAGUGCCAAAAUGGCCAGAUAUGGGGAUGAUGAAGUUGCACUCUUAUGAAGAGGCAAGUUGAGCAGAAAUUGGGCAUGGCCGAAUGUUUUGAGGAUUUGAAGAUGCCCAAAAAGUUUCAUGCCAAUUGGAUGAACCAAAAUAGCACUUGCUUCACAAAGCAUCUCUUUGGACAGAAUUUUGGAAAAAUUGCACAGGGCAAAUGGAGUAAUGGAUUGAGCCAAAACUUGGUGGAGGGAGUUGAUAUGGAUAGGAGAAUGUCCUGGAAAAUUUGCAGCUUAUUUGAAGCAAUAUAAAAGAUGGGUUGCUUCACAACCUAGGGCAAUCAAGAUAAUUCCUUUAAUAGAAAAUGAAUAUUCCCAAUAAAAAUAAUAUUGAGAUUUGGGCUAGGAUGAAAAUGACAUGAUAUAGGGAUGAUUAUGAGGAUGACAAGCCACUAUAAAACCUAGGAAGACAUGAUCUUCCCAAGUUUUGGAACCACAUAGCCACAGAAAAGCAAUUCAAAUCAAUAAAUUCAAGAAAAUCGAAGGAAAAAGAGAAGGGCAAAAUCCAGGGUGUUAAAAACCUUCCCCCCUUAAAGAAACCUCGUCCUCAAGAUUUGGUUGCACAGGGAUAAAUAAUUUUUUUGACUUGAAGAAACCGUUUCCAACUCAGGUUUCUUUUAUUCAUUCUCAUAUAAUAUUCCCACUAAGUUGGAUAUAGGGUGGUUUGCUUCACCGUAUCUGACAUUCUGACAGGACUUACCUCAUAUGUUCCUGUCCACACUGACUCAAAUUUUCUUUCAUAUCUGCUGGCUUAGCUAAGGUCCAAAAUGUUAUCAUAACUGGAAUAGGUGUCCUUCUCAAUACUUAUCCUUGCUGGAGAUUUUAUUCUUGUAUCGAGUACCGACAAUAUCCCACGGAGUUGGGAACACAUCUUCCCGUGGAACUAGGAAUCUCUUCUAUCCAGUUGUCAGACUCCUUGAAUGUAUGCAUACCUUCUGGGUUCAAAGCAGUGAUAGGAAUCAUACUUGGCUUUCUGAUGGAUUCUGACAUCUUGCAGGAGUUUCUGACUUAGCUUUACUGGCUUUACUAUCUUUCAUAUCCAACCUAUAUCAAAGGUUUGACUGUCGCUUGUCGGGUUUGAUAGAAAAAUGCACCAGUACCUGAUGAUCAUAUUUGCAGACUUGGCUGGUGGUGAUCUUGGCAAAGAAUCCCAUUCAUGGCAAGCUAUUCUGUAAUUGCUCCCCAUGUACGAGAGAUAACAAUCCUUAAAGUAUGUGUUCUCACACUGAUUCUUCAUUUUGCCGGUAUAUCCAUGGGGAGAAUGUUGGAAAUAUGCCCUAGAGGCAACAAUAAAAGGGUUAUUAUUAUAUUUCCUUGUUCAUGAUAAUUGUCUUUUAUUCAUGCUAUAACUGUAUUAUCCGGAAAUCGUAAUACACGUGUGAAUACAUAGACCAUAACAUGUCCCUAGUGAGCCUCUAGUUGACUAGCUCGUUGGUCGACAGAUAGUCAUGGUUUCCUAACUAUGGACAUUACAUGUCAUUGACAACGGGAUCACAUCAUUAGGAGAAUGAUGUGAUGGAGAAGACCCAAUCCUAAGCAUAGCACAAGAUCGUGUAGUUCGUUUUGCUAGAGCUUUUUCGAUGUCAAGUAUCUCUUCCUUAGACCAUGAGAUCGUGCAACUCCCGGAUACCGUAAGAGUGCUUUGGGUGUACCAAACAUCACAAUGUAACUGGGUGACUAUAAAGGUGCACUACAGGUAUCUCCGAAAGUGUCUGUUGGGUUGACACGGAUCGAGACUGGGAUUUGUCACUCCGGUUUACGGAGAGGUAUCACUGGGCCCACUCGGUAGUGCAUCAUCAUAAUGAGCUCAGAGUGACCAAGUGUCUGGUCACGGGAUCAUGCAUUACGGUACGAGUAAAGUGACUUGCCGGUAACGAGACUGAACGAGGUAUUGGGAUACCGACGAUCGAGUCUCGGGCAAGUAACAUACCGUCUGACAAAGGGAAUUGUAUACGGGGUUGUUCGAAUCCUUGACAUCGUGGUUCAUCCGAUGAGAUCAUCGAGGAGCAUGUGGGAGCCAACAUGGGUAUCCAGAUCCCGCUGUUGGUUAUUGGCCGAGAGCUAUCUCGGUCAUGUCUACGUGUCUCCCGAACCCGUAGGGUCUACACACUUAAGGUUCGGUGACGCUAGGGUUGUAUGAAUAUGAGUAUGCAGUAUACCGAAUGUUGUUCGGAGUCCCGGAUGACAUCCCGGACGUCACGAGGAGUUUCGGAAUGGUCCGGAGGUAAAGAACUAUAUAUAGGAAGUGGUAUUUCGGCCAUCGGGAAUGUUUCGGGGUCACCCGGUAUUGUACCAGGACCACCGGAAGGGUCCUGGGGGUCCACCGGCCACCCAUCCCGGAGGGCCCUAUGGGCUGAAGUGGGAGGGGAGCCAGCCCAUAGUGGGCUGGUGCGCCCCCCUAGGCCCACCCCCUGCGCCUAGGGUUGAAACCCUAGGGUGGGGGGGCGCACCACAUGCCUUGGGGGGCACUCCUCCCCCCUUGGCCGCCGCCCCCUUGGGAGAUUGAAUCUCCCAGGGCCGGCGCCCCCCCUGGGGGCCUAUAUAUAAAGGGAGGGGGAGAGGGGCAGUCACACCCUGAAGUCCUGGCACCCCCUCCCCCUGCUACACCUCUUCCUCCUCCGUCACAUGCUUGGCGAAGCCCUGCCGGAGUGCUGCUGUUCCACCACCACCAUGUCGUUGUGCUGCUGCUGGAGCCAUCAUCAUCAACCUCUCCUUCCCCCUUGCUGGAUCAAGAAGGAGGAGACGUCACACGCUCCGUACGUGUGUUGAACGUGGAGGUGCCGUCCGUUCGGCGCUAGGAUCUCCGGUGAUCUGAAUCACGGCGAGUACGACUCCAUCAUCACUGCUCCCUCUAACGCUUCCGUACGCGAUCUACAAGUGGUAUGUAGAUGCAAACUCACUCCCUUGACUCGUUGCUUAGAUGAACUCAUAGAUGGAUCUUGAUGAAACCGUAGGAAAAAUUUUAAUUCUCUGCAACGUUCCCCAACAGUGGCAUCAUGAGCUAGGUCUAUGCGUAGUUCUCUAUUGCACGAGUAGAACACAAUUUUGUUGUCGGCGUAGAUCUUGUCAACUUGCUUGCCGCUACUAGUCUUAUCUUGCUUCAGCGGUAUUGUGGGAUGAAGCGGCCCGGACCAACCUUACACGUACGCUUACGUGAGACCGGUUCCACCGACUAACAUGCACUAGUUGCAUAAGGUGGCUGGCGGGUGUCUGUCUCUCCCACUUUAGUUGGAGCGGAUUCGAUGAAAAGGGUCCUUAUGAAGGGUAAAUAGAAGUUGACAAAAUCACGUUGUGGUUAUUCGUAGGUAAGAAAAUGUUCUUGCUAGAACCCAAUUGCAGCCACGUAAAAGAUGCAACAACAAUUAGAGGACGUCUAACUUGUUUUUGCAGCAAUUGUCAUGUGAUGUGAUAUGACCAGAAGUUGUGAUGAAUGAUGAAUGAUAUAUUGUGAUGUAUGAGAUCAUGUUCUUGUAAUAGGAAUCACGACUUGCAUGUCGAUGAGUAUGACAACCGGCAGGAGCCAUAGGAGUUGUCUUUAUUUUUGUAUGACCUGCAUGUCAUUGAAGAACGCCAUGUAAACUACUUUACUUUAUUGCUAAACGCGUUAGUCAUAAAAGUAGAAGUAGUCGUUGGCGUGACAACUUCACGAAGACACGAUGAUGGAGAUCAUGAUGAUGGAGAUCAUGGUGUCAUGCCGGUGACAAGAUGAUCAUGGAGCCCCGAAGAUGAAGAUCAAAAGAGCUAUAUGAUAUUGGCCAUAUCAUGUCACUACUUUAUAUAAUUGCAUGUGAUGUUUAUUAUGUUUUAUGCAUCUUGUUUACUUAGAACGACAGUAGUAAAUAAGAUGAUCCCUUACAACAAUUUCAUGAAGUGUUCUCCCCUAACUGUGCACCGUUGCUAAAGUUCGUCGUUUCGAAGCACCACGUGAUGAUCGGGUGUGAUAGAUCCUUACGUUCACAUACAACGGGUGUAAGACAGUUUUACACAUGCAAACACUUAGGGUUAACUUGACGAGCCUAGCAUCUAUAGACAUGGCCUCGGAACACGGAGACCGAAAGGUCGAACACGAGUCGUAUGGAAGAUACGAUCAACAUGAGAAUGUUCACCGACAAUGACUAGUCUGUCUCACGUGAUGAUCGGACACGGCCUAGUCGACUCGGAUCAUGUAACACUUAGAUGACUAAGGGGAUGUCAAAUCUGAGUGGGAGUUCAUUAAAUAAUUUGAUUAGAUGAACUUAAUUAUCAUGAACUUAGUCUAAAAUCUUUGCAAAAUAUGUCUUGUAGAUCAAAUGGCCAACGCUCAUGUCAACAUGAACUUCAACGCGUUCCUAGAGAAAACCAAGCUGAAAGAUGAUGGCAGCAACUAUACGGACUGGGUCCGGAACCUUAGGAUCAUCCUCAUAGCUACCAAGAAAGCAUAUGUCCUUGAAGCACCGUUAGGUGACCCACCUGCUCUCCCAGCACUGCAAGACGAUUUGAACGUUUGGCAGACAUGUGUUGAUGAUUACUCCCUCGUUCAGUGUGGCAUGCUUUACAGCUUAGAACCGGGGCUCCAAAAGCGUUUUGAGCAACACGGAGCAUAUGAGAUGUUCAAGGAGCUGAAACUAGUUUUCCAAGCUCAUGCCUGGGUCGAGAGAUAUGAAGUCUCCGACAAGUUCUAUAGUUGUAAGAUGGAGGAAAACAGUUCUGUCAGUGAGCAUAUACUCAAAAUGUCUGGGUUGCACAGCCGCCUGUCCCAGCUGGACAUUAACCUCCUGGAUGAGGCGGUCAUUGACAGAAUCCUUCAGUCGCUCCCACCAAGCUACAAGAGCUUUGUGAUGAACUAUAAUAUGCAGGGGAUGGUGAAGACCAUUCCUGAAGUAUUUUCAAUGCUGAAGUCGGCAGAGGUUGAAAUCAAGAAAGAACAUCAAGUGUUGAUGGUCAAUAAGACCACUAAGUUCAAGAAGGGCAAGGGUAAGAAGAACUUCAAGAAGGACGACAAAGAUGUUGCCGCGCCCGAUAAGCCAGUUGCCGGGAAGAAGUCAAAGAAUGGACCCAAGCCUGAGACUGAGUGCUUUUAUUACAAGGGGAAGGGUCACUGGAAGCAGAACUGCCCCAAAUACUUAGUGGAUAAGAAGGCCGGCAACACUAAAGGUAUAUUUGAUAUACAUGUAAUUGAUGUGUACCUUACCAGUACUCGUAGUAACUCCUGGGUAUUUGAUACCGGUGCUGUUGCUCAUAUUUGUAACUCACAGCAGGAGCUGCGGAAUAAGCGGAGACUGGCGAAGGACGAGGUGACGAUGCGCGUCGGGAAUGGUUCCAAGGUCGAUGUGAUUGCCGUCGGCACGCUGCCUCUACAUUUACCUACGGGAUUAGUUAUAAACCUUAAUGAUUGUUAUUUGGUGCCAAGUUUGAGCAUGAACAUUGUAUCUGGAUCUCGUUUGAUACGAGAUGGCUACUCAUUUAAAUCCGAGAAUAAUGGUUGUUCUAUUUAUAUGAGAGAUAUGUUUUAUGGUCAUGCCCCUAUGGUCAAUGGUUUAUUCUUAAUGAAUCUCGAGCGUAAUGUUACACAUAUUCAUAGCGUGAAUACCAAAAGAUGCAAAGUUGAUAACGAUAGUCCCACAUACUUGUGGCACUGCCGCCUUGGUCACAUUGGUGUCAAGCGCAUGAAAAAGCUCCAUGCUGAUGGACUUUUGGAGUCUCUCGAUUAUGAAUCAUUUGACACAUGCGAACCAUGCCUCAUGGGCAAGAUGACCAAGACUCUGUUCUCCGGAACAAUGGAGUGAGCAACCAACUUGUUGGAAAUCAUACAUAUCGAUGUGUGCGGUCCAAUGAGCAUUGAGGCUCGCGGAGGAUAUCGUUAUGUUCUCACUCUCACUGAUGACUUGAGUAGAUAUGGGUAUGUCUACUUAAUGAAACACAAGUCUAAGACCUUUGAAAAGUUCAAGGAAUUUCAGAAUGAGGUAGAGAAUCAACGUGACCGAAAGAUAAAAUUCUUACGAUCGGAUCGUGGAGGAGAAUAUUUAAGUCACGAAUUUGGUACACACUUUAGAAAAUGUGGAAUCGUUUCACAACUCACGCCGCCUGGAACACCUCAGCGCAACGGUGUGUCCGAACGUCGUAAUCGCACUCUAUUGGAUAUGGUGCGGCCUAUGAUGUCUCUUACCGAUUUACCGCUUUCAUUUUGGGGAUACGCUCUAGAGAUAGUUACAUUCACUUUAAAUAGGGCACCGUCUAAAUCCGUUGAGACAACACCAUAUGAAUUAUGGUUUGGGAAGAAACCUAAGCUGUCAUUUCUAAAAGUUUGGGGAUGCGAUGCUUAGUUCAAGAAACUUCAACCUGAAAAGCUCGAACCCAAGUCGGAAAAAUGCAUCUUCAUAGGAUACCCUAAGGAAACCAUUGGGUAUACCUUCUACUUAAGAUCCGAGGGCAAGAUCUUUGUUGCCAAGAACGGAUCCUUUCUGGAAAAAGAGUUUCUCUCGAAAGAAGUAAGUGGGAGGAAAGUAGAACUCGAUGAAGUACUACCUCUUGAACGGGAUAGUAGUGCAGCUCAGGAAAAUGUUCCUGUGAUGCCUACACCAACUGAAGAGGAAAAUAAUGAUGAUGAUCAAGGUACUUCUGAUCAAAUUACUACUGAACUUCGUAGGUCCACAAGGACACGUUCCGCACCAGAGUGGUACGGCAACCCUGUCCUGGAAAUCAUGUUGUUAGACAACGGUGAACCUUCGAACUAUGAAGAAGCGAUGGAGGGCCCAGAUUCCAACAAAUGGCUUGAAGCCAUGAAAUCCGAGAUAGAAUCCAUGUAUGAAAACAAAGUAUGGACUUUGACUGACUUGCCCGAUGAUCGGCGAGCGAUAGAAAACAAAUGGAUCUUUAAGAAGAAGACGGACGCGGAUGGUAAUAUUACCAUCUAUAAAGCUCGACUUGUCGCUAAGGGUUACGGCAAGUUCAAGGGAUUGACUACGAUGAGACUUUCUCUCCCGUAGCGAAGCUUAAGUCCGUCCGAAUCAUGUUAGCAAUUUCCGCAUACUAUGAUUAUGAGAUAUGGCAGAUGGACGUCAAAACAGCAUUCCUUAACGGUUAUCUUAAGGAAGAGCUGUAUAUGAUGCAGCCGGCAGGUUUUGUUGAUCCUAAGAACGCUAACAAAGUAUGCAAGCUCCAGCGAUCCAUUUAUGGGCUGGUGCAAGCAUCUCGGAGUUGGAACAUUCGCUUUGAUGAAAUGAUCAAAGCGUUUGGGUUUAUGCAGACUUAUGGAGAAGCCUGCGUUUAUAAGAAAGUGAGUGGGAGCUCUGUAGCAUUUCUCAUAUUAUAUGUAGAUGACAUACUUUUGAUGGGAAAUAAUAUAGAAUUCUUGGACAGUAUUAAGGCCUACUUGAACAAGUGUUUUUCAAUGAAGGAUCUUGGAGAAGCUGCUUACAUAUUAGGCAUCGAGAUCUAUAGGGAUAGAUCAAGACGCCUCAUAGGUCUUUCACAAAGCACAUACCUUAAUAAGAUUUUGAAGAAGUUCAAAAUGGAUCAGUCCAAGAAGGGGCUCUUGCCUGUAUUGCAGGGUGUGAGAUUGAGCUCAGCUCAAUGCCCGACCAUGGCAAAAGAUAAAGAAGAGAUGAGUGUCAUCCCCUAUGCUUCAGCCAUAGGAUCUAUUAUGUAUGCCAUGCUGUGUACCAGACCUGAUGUAAACCUUGCCGUAAGUUUGGUAGGAAGGUACCAAAGUAAUCCCGGCAAGGAACACUGGACAGCGGUCAAGAAUAUCCUGAAGUACCUGAAAAGGACAAAGGACAUGUUUCUCGUUUAUGGAGGUGAUGAAGAGCUCGUCGUAAAGGGUUACGUCGAUGCUAGCUUCGACACAGAUCUGGAUGACUCUAAGUCACAAACCGAAUAUGUGUAUAUGUUGAAUGGUGGAGCAGUAAGCUGGUGCAGCUGCAAGCAGAGCGUCGUGGCGGGAUCUACAUGUGAAGCCGAGUACAUGGCAGCCUCGGAGGCAGCGCAUGAAGCUAUUUGGGUGAAGGAGUUCAUCACCGACCUAGGAGUCAUACCCAAUGUGUCGGGGCCGAUCAAACUCUUUUGUGACAACACUGGAGCUAUUGCCCUUGCCAAGGAGCCAAGGUUUCACAAGAAGACCAGGCACAUCAAGCGUCGUAUCAACUCCAUCCGCGAAAAUGUUCAAGAUGGAGACAUAGAUAUUUGCAAAGUACAUACGGAUCUGAAUGUCGCAGAUCCGUUGACUAAACCUCUCUCGCGAGCAAAACAUGAUCAACACCAGAACUCUAUGGGUGUUCGAUUCAUCACAAUGUAACUAGAUUAUUGACUCUAGUGCAAGUGGGAGACUGUUGGAAAUAUGCCCUAGAGGCAAUAAUAAAAGGGUUAUUAUUAUAUUUCCUUGUUCAUGAUAAUUGUCUUUUAUUCAUGCUAUAACUGUAUUAUCCGGAAAUCGUAAUACACUUGUGAAUACAUAGACCAUAACAUGUCCCUAGUGAGCCUCUAGUUGACUAGCUCGUUGGUCGACAGGUAGUCAUGGUUUCCUGACUAUGGACAUUAGAUGUCAUUGACAACGGGAUCACAUCAUUAGGAGAAUGAUGUGAUGGACAAGACCCAAUCCUAAGCAUAGCACAAGAUCGUGUAGUUCGUUUUGCUAGAGCUUUUUCAAUGUCAAGUAUCUCUUCCUUAGACCAUGAGAUCGUGUAACUCCUGGAUACCGUAAGAGUGCUUUGGGUGUACCAAACGGCACAACGUAACUGGGUGACUAUAAAGGUGCACUACAGGUAUCUCCGAAAGUGUCUGUUGGGUUGACACGGAUCGAGACUGGGAUUUGUCACUCCGGUUUACGGAGAGGUAUCACUGGGCCCACUCGGUAGCGCAUCAUCAUAAUGAGCUCAGAGUGACCAAGUGUCUGGUCACGGGAUCAUGCAUUAUGGUACGAGUAAAGUGACUUGCCGGUAACGAGACUGAACGAGGUAUUGGGAUACCGACGAUCGAGUGUCGGGCAAGUAACAUACCGUCUGACAAAGGGAAUUGUAUACGGGGUUGUUCGAAUCCUUGACAUCGUGGUUCAUCCGAUGAGAUCAUCGAGGAGCAUGUGGGAGCCAACAUGGGUAUCCAGAUCCCGCUGUUGGUUAUUGCCCGAGAGCUAUCUCGGUCAUGUCUACGUGUCUCCCGAACCCGUAGGGUCUACACACUUAAGGUUCGGUGACGCUAAGGUUGUAUGAAUAUGAGUAUGCAGUAUACCGAAUGUUGUUCGGAGUCCCGGAUGAGAUCCCGGACGUCACGAGGAGUUUCGGAAUGGUCCGGAGGUAAAGAAUUAUAUAUAGGAAGUGGUAUUUCAGCCAUCGGGAAAGUUUCGGGGUCACCCGGUAUUGUACCAGGACCACCGAAAGGGUCCUGGGGGUCCACCGGGUGGGGCUACCCAUCCCGGAGGGCCCUAUGGGCUGAAGUGGGAGGGGAGCCAGCCCAUAGUGGGCUGGUGCGCCCCCCUAGGCCCACCACCUGCGCCUAGGGUUGAAACCCUAUGGUGGGGGGGCGCACCACAUGCCUUGGGGGGCACUCCUCCCCCCUUGGCCGCCGCCCCCUUGGGAGAUUGAAUCUCCCAGGGCCGGCGCCCCCCCGUGGGGGCCUAUAUAUAAAGGGAGGGGGGAGAGGGGCAGCCGCACCCUGAAGUCCUGGCGCCCCCUCCCCCUGCUACACCUCUUCCUCCUCCGUCAUGUGCUUGGCGAAGCCCUGCCGGAGUGCUCCUGUUCCACCACCACCACGCCGUUGUGCUGCUGCUGGAGCCAUCAUCAUCAACCUCUCCUUCCCCCUUGCUGGAUCAAGAAGGAGGAGACGUCACACGCUCCGUACGUGUGUUGAACACGGAGGUGCCGUCCGUUCAGCGCUAGGAUCUCCGGUGAUCUGAAUCACGGCGAGUACGACUCCAUCAUCACCGCUCCCUCUAACGCUUCCGUACGCGAUCUACAAGUGGUAUGUAGAUGCAAACUCACUCCCUUGACUCGUUGCUUAGAUGAACUCAUAGAUGGAUCUUGGUGAAACCGUAGGAAAAAUUUUAAUUCUCUGCAACGUUCCCCAACAGAGAACAGUCCGUGCGAUGCUCUAGCGUGGUUGCGGAGGUCAAUAUGUUGAGUUGUUCUGUGGUCUGACUUAACAGACUUGGGUAUUCAAUGCUGACAGUUCUGAGCAUACUGUGGACUGAGUUGGUUGCCUUGUUAUGAGGUCCUUACCACAAUGAAGUAUACCUCUCAGGCGUAUCUUCACUUGUUAUGGAAUAUCAGACUGUCUUGGGCAUACAUACCACAUUUUUCACACAAUAACCGGCAUACCUAUAUUGUCGGUCUUGCUCUUUCAUUAUCAUUUUCUUCAUCUGUAUCCUUAACUGAAUGGGUUGGUGUAGGACCUUGAAGUAUGUCUAGAGGGGGGUGAUUAGACUACUUGACCAAUUAAAAACUUAACCUUUUCCCAAUUUUAGAGUUUGGCAGAUUUUAGCUAUCUUAGGACAAGUCAAGCACAAUUCAAGCAAGCAUGCAAAGAGCAUAUGAGCAGCGGAAAUUAAAGCAUGCAACUUGCAAGAAAGUAAAGGGAAGGGUUUGGAGGAUUCAAACGCAAUUGGAGACAAGGAUUUUUUGGCGUGGUUCCGAUAGGUGGUGCUAUCAUACAUCCACGUUGAUGGAGACUUCAACCCACGAAGGGUAACGGUUGCGCGAGUCCACAUAGGGCUCCACCCACGAAAGGUCCAUGAAGAAGCAACCUUGUCUAUCCCACCAUGGUCGUCACCCACGAAGUACUUGCCUCACUAGCGGUAGAUCUUCAUGAAGUAGGCGAUCUCCUUGCCCUUACAAACUACUUGGUUCAACUCCACAAUCUUGUCGGAGGCUCGCAAGUGACACCUAGCCAAUCUAGGAGACACCACUCUCCAAGAAGUAACAAAUGGUGCGUUGAUGAUGAACUCCUUGCUCUUGUGCUUCAAAUGAUAGUCUCCCCAACACUCAACUCUCUCUCAUAGGUUUUGGAUCUGGUGGAAAGAAGAUUUGAGUGGAAAGCAACUUGGGAAAGGCUAGAGAUCAAGAUUCAUAUGGUAGGAAUGGAAUAUCUUGGCCUCAACACAUGAGUAGGUGGUUCUCUCUCAGAAAUGGUAAGUUGAAAGUGUAGGUUUAGUCUGAUGGCUCUCUCCACGAAUGAAGAGGAGGUGGAGGGGUAUAUAUAGCCUCCACACAAAAUCUAACCGUUACACACAAUUUACCAAACUCGGUGGGACCGAUUCAACAGACUCAGUCGGACCGAUUUAGUAAACCUAGUGACCCUUAGUGAUUUUCUGUGGGACUGACAUGCAACUCGGUAAGACCGAUUCGGUUAGGGUUAGGGCAUAACGUAAUCUCAGUAAGACCGAUUACACAAACUCGGUGAGACCGAUUUUGGUAAUAAGCUUUCCAGAGAGUUGGUCAGGUAAAUUCGGUGGGACCGCUUUGCUCUUUUCGAUGUGACCGAAAUGUUACAAAAGGGAAACAGAGAGUUUACAUUGCAAUCUCGGUGGGACCGAUCGCUCACUUCGGUUAGACCGAAACGUUAUGAAUGGAAACAGAGAGAUUACAAUCCCAUCUUGGUGAGACCGAGAUCCCUAUCGGUAGAACCGAUUUGCUUAGGGUUUGUGGCAGUGGCUAUGACUUUUGGAAUCGGUGGCGCCGGACAGGAAGAAUCGGUGUGACCGAUUUUGGCUUUAGGUUUAGGUCAUUUGUGGAUGUGAGAAAGUAGUUGAGGGUUUUGGAGCAUAUCACUAAGCACAUGAAGCAAGAGGCUCAUUAAGCAACACCUCAUCCCUCCUUGAUAGUAUUGGCUUUUCCUAUACACUCAAUGUGAUCUUGGAUCACUAAAAUAUAAAAUGAAGAGUCUUGAGGUUUUGAGCUUGAGCCAAUCCUUUGUACUUAGUAUUUUGAGGGAUCCACUUUCAUCAUCCAUGCCAUGCCAUUCACUGAGCUUUCCUGAAAUAAUAGUCUUGGAAUAGCAUUAGCUCAAUGAGCUAUAUGUUGUUAUGAAUUACCAAAACCACCUAGGGAUAGUUGCACUUUCAAUGUCCCCCUUUUUGGUAAUUGAUGACAACAUAUAGAUCAAAGCUUCGACAAAUGAUAAUAAGAUUGAAAAACAUCGUCGCUUUGAGAAGUAUGUGAUAAGCAAGAGCUCCCCCUAGAUUUGUGCAUAUUUUAAAAUUUGCUUUGGACUGCAAAUGCAUAAGGAAUUAGGCUCAUGGGUUACUCUUCCAUGUCACAUACAUCUUGGUGGAGCGCUAAAAAUAAUGAAGAUUGAAUACAUGCACUCAUCACCAAGCAAAGUGAAUGAUCACAUAGGGUAGAUAGGAUAAUAUCAUCAAACAUGCAUAAGUGUAGCUUAUGAUCAAACACAUGAUCAUCAAUGUCUCACAAGCAUAGUAUCUCAAGCAAUCAAAAGCAAACAAGUUUAACCACAAAAUCAAGAGAGAACAAAAGCAACACUCUCUCUCGAAGCCUAUGAUCUAUACGUUUUUCUCCCCCUUUGGCAACAAGUUACCAAAAAGUUCAUAGAAAAUGCAUAGUGCUAGAUCGACUCUCAGGCUUGAUCUUCAGGUGGUGGUGUCCGGAUAACUCCAAGAACGAAAGCUUCAGUUGUAGUAGAGGGUGCUGGAGUUGAUGCUGGAGCUGGUUGCACUAGAGGAGUAGGGGCUGUAGCUAGUGCAGAAGAUGUUGCUCUGGUGUCUGUCACAAGCACUACAACUGACCUCUGGGCUCUAGGCACUCUGGCAAACACAUUAGUGGUAGUCUUUCCCUGCCUCUCCUGCAUGUCAUCCUGUAGCUGCUCCAUAACUGACUGAAUCUCCGUUACUUUGACAUCAAGGUCAUGGAAUUUGAGUUCCAUUAUUCUUUUCCAAGCUCUUCUGAUUUUUGAGUGAGGGUGGCCAAUCCCUUCUCAAUCCUCAGAGUUGAUGCUAUUAAGAAACCAAGCUGCUCCUGCAUGUUCUUCAAGAAAUACUCAGAUGCCUCCUCUUGAGUUGGCAUCUUGGCAGCCUUCUCCUUCCUUGCCUUCUCCUUCUUCUCUUGAGCUUGAACUGAUGAUGGAUCAUUCUCAUUCAUGAGAACCUGAUUGUCCUCAAAGUAUGGAUAAAGUGGAAAAUGUUCCUUAUCCAAUUGAUAUUUCCCUGUGCCCAUCUUUGAGUUAAUCAACUCCUGAAUCUGAGGGACAUAUCCACAGCUCCUCUUCUGAUCUGCUGCAGUCCUCUUAAUGGUUUCAAUCAUAAGGCUCAUGACCUUAAACUUCUGUGGCACAUCAAACAAAUGCAACAUGUUGAUGGCAUGCCCUCUGAUCAUGUUGUGGUCACCAGACUUAGGCAACAGAGUGUGCCUUAGGAUCCAAUUGAUAGUUGGCAGCCCUGGUAGAAGGAAGUGGACUGAUCCAGACUUAUGUGUCUCUACAGCUUUGUCUGGGAUCUCCUUGUACAUGUGUGCCAUGGAAUGGUGGUCCAUCUUCUUCUUGGCAUAAAUGUCCAGGUCAUCUUCAUCUUCCUUUGGGGCAUUGAUCAGUCUUGCCCAUUCCUCAACAGUGGACUGGUACCUUGUACCUUCAGACAUCCAAACUAUCCUCCCAUCUGGAUAGAAGUGUGCUAUGGAGUAGAAUUGCAUGAUAAGUUCAUCAUUCCAGUUGGUGAGCUUUUGCCCAACAAAAUCAGCAACUCCACAAGCAACAAAACUGUCUUGCACUCCAGGAUAGUGCUCUUCAUUGUCCUUUAUGUAGGUCCAGUCGACCCACCUCAUAUCACACACUAUGGGCUUCUUAUCCAACAAGAUUGUCUCAUAGAAGUCCUGUUGUUCCUUUGUAUGGAACCUGUAAUCAACAGCAGUUCUUCUCCUUGAGGCAUAUGGAUCUUCCAUCCUCCAUAUCCUCAACCCUGAGUCCUUCCUGAUCCUCAUGUCCUCAGCCACAGGAUGGGCAUCAUUGUGGUCUGGUAUCUUGGGCUUGAGCUUCCUUAGGACCUGUCCUUCUUCAUCUUCCUCAUCAGCAACAUUAGGCACUGGGGCCUUGUUCUUCUCAACAGCUGGAAUACUCAUGGCAUUCCUCUUUGGUGCAAGCUUGGCCUUGGGGGCAGCUUUGGGUGCUUCCUUGGGCAUAGAUGUUGCAGCCCCUGAUCUAAUAGCAUCACCCAUAAGCUUUGGUGCCUUGGGUGCUGGUGCAGUAACCUCUUCUUCCUCUUCAGAGUCUCUUCUCAUUGAGGGCUUUCCAAGAACCUGGGCAGUUGUGGUUCUUGCUCUCUUCUUCUUCUUGUCCUGAGCAGCUUCAUCCUCUGAUUCAAUGGUAAACUUCAUAGUUCCUCCAGUGGGAACUUUCUUGGAUUUGGAAGUUGUGACUUUCUUUGCAGGUGCCUCUUUGGAUUCAGUCUGUUCUGGCACUUGAGUGGACCUUCUGACCUUCGGCAUAGGUGUCGUCUUGGCAGGAACUUUCUUAUUCAGUCCAGGCUUUGUGCUAUGUGCUGAGCCAUACUCCUUUUUGAGCACUACUUUCUUGGAAGUAGCCUCAUCCUCUUCAGCUCUAUAGUCCUCAUCUUCAGAGUCUGAAGUUCUUUUCCUCCUUUGCCUGGUAGCAGCCUUAGGAAGAUUACUUGGGGUGCUUCUGCUACCUUCAUGUGAAGUGCUAGAGGGACUAGUGCCCUUACUCAUGUCAAUCUGCUCUUCUGACCUAUUAUGGCUGUCACUCUGGUCUAACAUGCUGCAAACACUGACUGCUGACCCUGUGAAGAGCUAUCGAUGAGGUAGAAUGGAUGAGCAUCACAAAAUGCAAAGAUUUUUGCAAAAGAAUGAUUCAAAAAUUCAGUUUUAGUUUUCCACAGAAAGCAUUUUGGAUCAACCGAUUUUCAAACUUGGUGAUACCGAAGCAGUUUUGGAACCUAAACUGAUGAACUCAGUUGGACCGAGUCACAGUUCGGUGGCUCCGAGACUACUAGGGUUUCACAAAGUCUUAAAAUCGGUCUCACUAAUUAGCAAUUCUCGGUCAGACUAAGAGUUACUAGUGCAAUGGCAUAAGCCAAAUUAGUGGGACCGAGUUUUUCAACUCGGUGGGUCCGAGAUGGUUUCGGCGGAAACCUAACCCUAAAAUUUCGAAUCUCAUCUAAUCUACGGACUGCAUUGAGUGGAUAGGAGUGUUUCAAUCGUGGCAAGAAUCAAUAAGAACACAAUGUGCUAGGAAUCGGACGAGGAUAGCACAGUGAUCGAGUCCAUACCCUAGCUUGGCGAUGAACUCGCUACGGCGGCAACGGCGGGGUUGAAAUCCGUUAACGGCAGCGGAGACCAGCGACAGGGGGCGGCUGGCGACGAGGAGACGAUCCGGAGACCUUGGAGGCAGAGCGAGCUAUUGCGCGGGCGAAGGGGUUCGGAGGAAUUUCCAAAUUUUUUCCCGUGACUAUAUAUAGCCCGACCCUGUCGGUGUGACCGAUUGGAACAACUCGGUGGCACCGAGAUGCAUAACUGUGUACAGUUACAGCAACUCGAUGUGACCGAAAAGUUCAAAUCGGUUGCACCGAGAUGGAAAACUUAGAUCAACUUAAUGAUCUCAGUAGGACCGAAAUGGAGGAAUCGGUCAGACCGAGAAUCACAAAGAAGUUUUGGAAGUGUAAGUCUAUGAUGAAUCGGGGACUCCGAGUGCUCCUCACACAGAGUGGUUCGAAUCUGACUUGAUCAAUUUUUGUGACGUAGCAUGAAUAGAGUUUGAGACGAGAAAAGCAUAGAUAGCUAGAGAAUGUUCUUAGGCAUUCUUGUCCAUCCACUUGGCAAAAAUAAAAAAAGUCAAACAAUCAAAACAACAAGUGGAUGUCCUUGAAUGAGUAAAAUAUGCACCAACAUGCUCACACAAUAAGAUGGCAAAUGAAAUAUGUGGCAAAGCAUGCACAACCAAUUCUAGCAUCUAUCAAACAAUUGGCGAUGACUAGGUCAUCUAUAUAUGAGUAUAUUGACUUAGGAGUCAAAUGAAAAAACAUUUGAUCAUAGGUCAUAAUCAUCGUUUAAGCUCAAGUGGGGUUACCACUUUUACAUAAUCCAUUGAUGUGUUCACACCAUUAGAGUUGCUUUGACUCAAUUCUUAGAGUUAAGCCCCCCCUAGAUGUGAGAUCCCCUUUUAGAGGGAUGAACUAACCUUGGGUUUUGUCGAAUAUCACUUCAUGUAGGUGUUGAAGAUGUGGAUGCUCAAUGUUGAUGUAGAUCAUUUGGAGCAAUCCUUUGGGUGAGUUGCACUUUCAACUUACCUACAUGGGUUAGUCCCACAAGGAACAAACAAGAAUAUCCAUAGACAUAGAGUGAUGCACACACAAGAUGAUGUCCAUGAAAUCAUUAGGUUACCUUGUCCCUUGCCUUACCAACAUGAGGGUUUGUGACUCCUUGAACUAGUGCAAGAUGUGGAAGUUGAUUGCACUUGUUCUUGCCAUAAUGAUAUGAGUGAAGAAUGUUGGCGGAGUCACCCUCAAGAACUCUCUAGUUCUUCUUCUUCGGGGUCCACAUCAUCUUGAUGGGAAUCCUUGGAGUUGUAGUUGUACUUGAUGAAGUAGAACUUGACGUAGUCUUGGGAACCCACUUGAACAAGGCCUUAGGUGCUUCUUCAAAUGCAUCAAUCUCUUCUUGAAGCAUGUCCUUGCCUUUGUUCUUGUGGUCUUGGGGUGGAAGAUCAUCUUGUGCUUGUGUUCCCUUGAAAGAAGUAGGAUCAUACUCCUCUUGUUGAGGAACAAACUUCGUCUUGGGGUAUUGAUCUUCUUCCCACUCAACUCCAUUGGCAUUGAACUUUCAUUCAAAACCAACACCUUGAUUCUUCCGGUGCCUUCCUUGCUUGCGUACAAUUUCCUUGAAUUGCUUACUCCCAGCAAGGCUCUUGUAAACACCUUUCUCUAUAAUUCCCUUCAAUAAGCUAUUUUCUUGCUCAAGUGUAACUUGGCUAAGAGAAUCAUUAGUGGAAUCAAGAGAACUACUAGAAGCAACAAUAUUGGAUUUGACAUUAUUAUUAUUGUUACUACUAGAGGAAGUAUCUUUCUUGUACUUGUUACUAGACUUGACUUGAGGCAUGUAAGUAGAUAAGAGUGAACGCUUGGCAAUGUAAGAAGAACUUUUCUUACGGAGAUCAUCAUUGAUUGCUUUUAAGAACUCAUGCUCUUGCUCAAGAUUGAGCUUUUCAAAGUGUAACUUCUCAUGAGCCCUUAAAAGUUCUCGAUGAUCUUCGAAGAUAGUUUCAUGAGCCAACUUAAGAGUGUUUAGUUCUUUAGUUAGAAGCUCAAUCUUCUCCUUAUCAUUGUCAUUCGUUUUAUCUUGAUUAGCAUGAUUAAUUGACGUUUCAUCAUAGUAUUCAUCACUAGAGUUGUCAACAAGUAAAUCAUCAUCCACAAGCAAGUCAUCUUCAUCACUAUUGAAAUCAACAUACACAGGAUGUGUUACCUUUGAACCUUUGGCCAUGAAGCAUCUUCCAAUUCCUUCAUUUGGUGAAUAAAAUAUGUCGUAGGAGUUGGUCGACACAAGUGCUAGACGGGCAACAGCUUCAUCUUGAGUAUAUUCGGAGUCGGAGUGAUAGCUUCUCUCAGAGUGAUUGUCGGAGUCGGAGCCGGAUACCCAUUCACUAACAUGAGCUUGAUGUCUUUGUUUUGUGUAGCUCCUUGAUGACCUGUCCUUCCUCUCCGAAUCCUUGCUUCUCCGUGAGGGUCUUCGUUCAUAACGAUCAUCUCUACUCCUCCUCUCUCUUGGUGGUGAUUCUUCUCUUUUGCUUCUUCUUCUUGGAGAAUCUUCUCUUCUUUUGUAGGGUGUCGUACACUCAUUGGAAUAGUGUCCGGGUCUCCCACAAUUGUAGCAAUUGCGCUCUUGACUUGAAGAACUUUUGUCAUUGUAAGACCUUGACUUGGAGCUUCUUUCUUUGCUUCUACUCUUGUAGAAUUUGUUGAAGUUCUUCACCAUUAAGCUCAAUUCUUCAUUGAAGGUUUGUUUCUCACUUGAUGAUGUGGGGGCUUCACUUGAGGCUUUGUAAGCACCACUUGACUUGUUGUGAAGUUCCUCCUUCUCCUUGAGAGACAUCUCAUGAGCAAAAAUUCUUCCAAUGACUUCCACUUGGCUUGAGAUCUUUGUAGUUUGGCAUCAUUUGGAUCAAUGUUCACACGGUAUCAUACUUUCCAUCCAAUGCUCUUAGUAUCUUCUUGAUGAUGAAUUUGUUGGUCAUCUCUUCACUCCCUAAGCCGGCAAUCUCAUUUGUGAUAAGAGCAAGCCUAGAGUACAUUUCAGCGACACCUUCACCAUCCUUCAUUUUGAACUUCUCAAGCUGACUUUGGAGCACAUCCAACUUGGAUGCCUUGACGGAUUCGGUACCUUCAUGCAUAUCAAUCAAAGUAUCCCAAAUUUCCUUUGCAUUCUCAAGACGGCUGAUUUUGUUGAAUUCUUCGGGGCACAAUCCGUUGAAGAUGAUAUCACAAGCUUGAGCGUUGUAUUGCAGCAUCUUCAAUUCUUCUGCAUUAGCUUCACGGUUCGGUUCUCUCCCAUCAAAGAAUUCACCUUGCAAGCCAAUACAAAUAAUUGCCCAAACGGCGGGGUUAUGUCCGAGAAUAUGCAUUUUCAUCUUAUGCUUCCAACUAGCAAAAUUAGCACCAUCAAAGUAAGGAUCUCUACAGUGAUAAUUUCCCUCGCUAGACACCAUACUCUCCUAGGUUGUGAAACCAAGGCUAUGACCACCAAAAGCUAUGGAAAUCAAAGCAAAUGGAGACCAAAGCUCUGAUACUACUUGUAGGACCUUGAAGUAUGUCUAGAGGGGGGGGUGAUUAGACUACUGGACCAAUUAAAAACUUAACCUUUUCCCAAUUUUAGAGUUUGGCAGAUUUUAGCUAUCUUAGGACAAGUCAAGCAAUCAUCACACAAUUCAAGCAAGCAUGCAAAGAGUAUAUGAGCAGCGGAAAUUAAAGCAUGCAACUUGCAAGAAAGUAAAUGGAAGGGUUUGGAGGAUUCAAAUGCAAUUGGAGACACGGAUGUUUUUGGCGUGGUUCCGAUAGGUGGUGCUAUCGUACAUCCACGUUGAUGGAGACUUCCACCCACGAAGGGUAACGGUUGUGCGAGUCCACUUAGGGCUCCACCCACGAAGGGUCCACGAAGAAGCAACCAUGUCUAUCCCACCAUGGCCGUCGCCCACGAAGGACUUGCCUCACUAGCGGUAGAUCUUCACGAAGUAGGCGAUCUCCAUGCCCUUACAAACUCCUUGGUUCAACUCCACAAUCUUGUCGGAGGCUCCCAAGUGACACCUAGCCAAUCUAGGAGACACCACUCUCCAAGAAGUAACAAAUGGUGCGUUGAUGAUGAACUCCUUGCUCUUGUGCUUCAAAUGAUAGUCUCCCCAACACUCAACUCUCUCUCAUAGGUUUUGGAUCUGGUGGAAAGAAGAUUUGAGUGGAAAACAACUUGGGAAAGGCUAGAGAUCAAGAUUCAUAUGGUAGGAAUGGAAUAUCUUGGCCUCAACACAUGAGUAGGUGGUUCUCUCUCAGAAAUGGUAAGUUGGAAGUGUAGGUUUAGUCUGAUGGCUCUCUCCACGAAUGAAGAGGAGGUGGAGGGGUAUAUAUAGCCUCCACACAAAAUCUAACCGUUACACACAAUUUACCAAACUCGGUGGGACCGAUUCAACAGACUCAGUCGGACCGAUUUAGUAAACCUAGUGACCCUUAGUGAUUUUCUGUGGGACUGACAUGCAACUCGGUAAGACCGAUUCGGUUAGGGUUAGGGCAUAACGUAAUCUCAGUAAGACCGAUUACACAAACUCGGUGAGACCGAUUUUGGUAAUAAGCUUUCCAGAGAGUUGGUCAGGUAAAUUCGGUGGGACCGCUUUGCUCUUUUAGGUGUGACCGAAAUGUUACAAAAGGGAAACAGAGAGUUUACAUUGCAAUCUCGGUGGGACCGAUCACUCACUUCGGUUAGACCGAAACGUUAUGAAUGGAAACAGAGAGAUUACAAUCCCAUCUUGGUGAGACCGAGAUCCCUAUUGGUAGAACCGAUUUGCUUAGGGUUUGUGGCAGUGGCUAUGACUUUUGAAAUCGGUGGCGCCGGAUAGGAAGAAUCGGUGUGACCGAUUUUGGCUUUAGGUUUAGGUCAUUUGUGGAUGUGAGAAAGUAGCUGAGGGUUUUGGAGCAUAUCACUAAGCACAUGAAGCAAGAGGCUCAUUAAGCAACACCUCAUCCCUCCUUGAUAGUUUUGGCUUUUCCUAUAGACUCAAUGUGAUCUUGGAUCACUAAAAUAUAAAAUGAAGAGUCUUGAGCUUUUGAGCUUGAGCCAAUCCUUUGUCCUUAGUAUUUUGAGGGAUCCACUUUCAUCAUCCAUGCCAUGCCAUUCAUUGAGCUUUCCUGGAAUAAUAGUCUUGGCAUAGCAUUAGCUCAAUGAGCUAUAUGUUGUUAUGAAUUACCAAAACCACCUAGGGAUAGUUGCACUUUCAGCUGGGCCUUAUAUACCCUUGAUUAUUUUGCGACCCUUAGUAGUGUCAUGUGCAAUAUCUUGCAAUCAUACCUUGGUCUUGUUCAUGUAUGGUGUCUCCAUACAUCUUCCAAGUUCACGUGGGCUUAUAUAGAUCUCAUUACUGUUGCUGACUAUGUCGGACAGUGACAGGAUUAAUAACAUCACCUUGUCGGGGUGCGGGAUCUGACCUGGAUACUUACUGCCAAGAUUAUUGCCUUAAUGUUGUCUUUCUUCUAGACUUGUCCAUUCUUGCAUCACCCACUGGUUUUCCUUCACUUACAUAUCAAGUGAGGUUGUCGGAUGCAUACCGGAAAUUGUUCCUUGUGUGAGGGACUUGCAUGAACUCGACAGCAUACUCACUGUAUGAAUAAAUAUAUAAUUCUGGGGAUAUACCUUUGUGCUGACUGAUUCUUGCUUCCAACUUAACUGUUGCAGAUUUGCCGCUUGGAAAACACUGCCAUAUGCUGACAAUCCAGUGUUUAUUUUCUUGUACCAGUGCUGUACUGAAGAAGACUGCACAGCUUGAUAGCUUGUGCUGCGGAACACUGGAUAGCUUGUGCUCAAAUCUUUCUGUGGAAAUCUUGCUGAGGAAAACUGGGUACCGUACCUCGUAAGCUUCACCCUUAAAGACUUACUAGGGAAGACUCGGUACCUUAUGCCAGAAGCUUUUGCAGUAUCCAAUUGAAAUGACUGAAUAUCUUGCACUAGAAUCCAUUCAUACCUUUCUGAUGCAGACUGGUGAAUCGUGUCUUGUAUGCUUUGCUGAUAAAUUGUUGAGAAGGACUGGACUGAUUUUCUUCAUGAACGGAACAGCAUAUAUAUAUUCUUGUCAUUCCGGCAUGCUGAUUACUUGUAUGACAAAAAUUGACUGACUGUCCUUGCUGGAUUCAUUGCAUAUUUGGACUGACUUUUGGAUGUCGCAUGCUUCAAAUCUGACUAUUGGCAGAAUCAAUCAUUGUGUACGAACCAUACCUUUGACUUGAAAUGCAAUGUCGGACUUGGAUCCAAUUUGGUUCUCCUCCUGAUUUAAUCAUUGCUGCAAUGAAGCUGUAUCUCUAACGUGUACUUGUUAUUGAAAGUCUAAGCAGAAUAUACUUGUAUUCAGAUCGGAUGUCUGUAAUACAAUGUUGUGAGCUGAAAAUCUCAUUGCCUUGAACUGAGUUCCUUGAUGUAUCUAUGUACUUCUCAAGGCUUCUUCUGAUCUGGUGUCGGUUGAUGAGCAAUUUCCAUAAGGGGGUAACAUCAAAGAUUCAAAUAAAGAGGCACGAGAAAACAAUCGAUUGCAAUAAAGCACAUAGCAAAAAAGCUACAAGACUAAUCCACACAGGCACACACAAGCACACAUAAGCAUAAACAAGCAAUGAUACUAGAGCAGGUGCACAUUCACUACACGAAGGACUACACCCUACGUGUGAGCAAACGCUCGGGGACUGAUGAAGAAGCUAAGAGAGUAGCGAGUGGAACUGCUGACUCCAAAACUCCGGAUGGAUGAGGCGGUGGGGUUGAAGAAGCUGGCGGAGAUUGAGGCAGGGAAGCACCAAGCAAUCUCCUGGCUCGGAUGGCGUCUCGGACUAAUUCAAAAAUAAGAAGACACUCGACCAUCAUGUAACGGGACAUGGCGAAGACAACCGGGUCCUCUUGGGGGUUGACAGACGUGAACUUGAUCCGCUUAGGAUUCUCGACAAUGGUGGGAUAGAAUUGAUAGGCUCGGUUCUCUUACACCAUGCUCUCUUGAUGACAAGAACGAUGAUGGCUGCCAUAGCGGCAAGCUGAACGGCACGCUCGGGAGUAGCGCCAUAACCACCAUGGAAAAUGUAGGUGCGCUUACCAAUAGGGAUCGGGGCUGAUAGACGGACAUGGGCAACAUACUCCAGGAUCCUUCCUCCGGUAGAAAACUGGAAUACUUGAUAAUGGGGUGGAUCCCCGUGGGGAUAAAUGCUACACCAAAUGUUGCCAAGGAGGGUGGCAAAGCUAAGAGGUGCAGGAGUGGGACUGAAAGCAAUAGGAACAACAUCGGGAGCUCUGGGAAGGGCACUGAACUCAUGGAAGCUGACCGCCAUCUACGAAACAGUGGUUACGGGUAACUGAAUAAGACUAUAUGCAGCAAACAAAUUCAAAAACCAAAUGCAGCAAACCAGGGCAACAACCAGACCCUAUACUACCAUUUUCUAAUUUUCCAGUGGACUAGAACGCUCUAUAACCAGACCUGCUCUGAUACCAAGCCUGUGGCGCCCCAACUCAGAGAAACAGGAACACCCAUAUUCCAUCCUAGAGAUUGAGGUGAAGUCUUCUGGAAUAUGGCACUGCUUAGCAUAGAACAAACCAGCUCUCUAUUACAACACGGAUACGAAUACAAGGUUGCCGAUAUUACAAUGAAUAACACCGGCACAGCGACACUACGCGAACCACAAUUGCUCUAUGCAAGCAGAAUAACAACUCGAGGCAGCAGAACCUCUACUAGCAGCGGAACAACUAUUGGCAGCGGAACAACGAACAUCGAUGAUGGACUCCAAUCCGCAGGGACUCUGGCUGGAACGUUUAUCCUAUCUCGCGAAUACGGGAACCGCACCAAACAAGCAAGAAAUCGAGGCACGACCGGCAAACUAGCAUGACACGCCAGGUCAGUACAUUGAAUGUACUUGCAAGCCCACAGUAACUGAAAGCAUUCAAGACAAACAACAACAUGGCAUUAACAGGUUAAAACAAUCAUGAACAUGAUACUAGCAGAACAACAUGGCAUGCACAAUGGAACAUGAUACAAUUCUAACAUGGCAUGAUCACAUGAACAUGAUGAUACUACAUGUAGCAGGUUAACAUAAUCAUGCACCAACUUACUCUGCUCGGGUUACCUCAUAACCAAAACAUGCAUUACUUACCACCGUGGACAUCACAUGAUCAUCUCAAGAUCAAAUUGUUGGCAUUCUGGAUACGGGGGUGCCCAGACUUGCCUGCCUGCGGCCCACUACAUGGCUCCAUUGACGGCCUGGUACGACCCAGUUUCAGCAUCAACAACCCAAGACCCUCGCGAGGGGCCAAGCCUCAUGAGGAAUACGGCACCAAGACCUCUAAGGGGAUCAGCCUCCUCAGGCUGGCUCCCGAGGAGCGGAGACUUCUAUGCAAGGUACACCUCACGAGGCUCAGCCGAUGUGAGCCAUGACGAUCAAGGCCAGACGGGUGCCAGGUGGGCGCCAGAGGGCGCAGAGCACCAGUUUCCUUUUUGGUGAAAGGAGGCAAGCAGUAGGCGCGGAGUCCCGAGGAAUCUGCCAAAGGUUUCCAUUCUGGUGCAACAAGACAAAGAACACUGAUAGCACAUUUAUGCAUAUAGUAUUUUUAGCCUUUUUGAGUCACAAAUUAAACAUAUGAUCUCAGUAAUCACUCAUAAAGUAUUCAUUCCUACAGAAAUAUUCCUAUUGUGAUAUUUUUACAACACUUAUUCAUUUUUUGCAGGACUGGUGCGUUUAGGCACCCAAAUUUCAUCGAAAAUGCUUUCAACACUAAAGCGGGAUCAACCUGGAGAAGAGUUCAGUUCUUGAGGGGGCAAAACCGAAAAGUACCAGAGGAGCUGGGGUCUGGCGCGACACACCAGACGUGGUGUCUGAUCCUACACGCGACUGAACCACCAAGAAGAGGAGUGGGGGUCCAAGGAAAAAUAACCCGGGGGCCGACUGCUCUCGCUCUCCACGCUGCUCACCUACCACCAGAUCGAACCAAAGGAACACCAGAUCGGAGGGGGAGAAAAAGGGGAUCGAGGGAAGCAAGAAGGAGAACUAGAUCAAAUCCAAGACUCCUUUCUUCCUCUCCACGCUGCUCACCCACGAUUGGAUCGAAGGAGGGAAGAGAAGGGAUCAAGGGGAACGAGAGGAACCAGGAGAGCGAGGGUUUCGGGAGGCUGGCGGCCUGGCUUAUCCACCGCGAGGCCUCUCCGCCCUGACCGACGCCCGUGCUGCUCUUCUCCGCCCUACCCCGACGACCGCUGCUGCUCUUGCUCCAACCUCGACGACCGCUGCCGCUUCUGCUCCAACACCGAUGACCGCGCUGCUCUGCUUCAACUCCGUCGCCCGUUGCUGCUGUUGUUCUGCUAUAGAUCGUCUCCAAUGUGCCCCUGCUGUUCUUCUUCGCCGCAACAUCUACAACUUCGAAUUGAAUAUCACCAAGACCAUAGGCUAUGAACUUCUCUCUUCUCUUGUUCCUAUUCUCUGAGUAUAUGCACCGUUGGGUCUGAAAUUUACUCUGUUACCUGUGCACCUUUGCUGAAACCUCAUGUAUCCUUGCUGAAUUGUUGUGAUCCUUGGCUGGAUAUUAAGUUAGUAGUUAUUCUCCUGUGAGCUGUUGUCACUUUAAUUGGUUGCAUGAGUUGCGUGUGAUAUCUGAACCAUCUUCCAUGUGCUAGUGUUACUUGUCUGUUUGCUUACAAGAAAAUCACUAAAAAGAGAAGGUCCUAUUUCUGAACCCUUUUACCCUUGCUACAUAUUAUUUUGUUUUACCUUGUUCCAGUAGCUGCUUGUUGUCACUUCGGUUGGAUUCAUCUGUUCAGUUGUUCUGAAUGCUUCAAAUGUGUGCUCCGAAGUUCUAGAUCCCUGUGGAGAGCACGACAUCCGUAGUUCGGGGUGUAAAAACCCCGCUAUAUUACAAACGAUCAUUUUGGCGCCGUUGCCGGGGAUCUAAAUUUCAUUAGCACAUUAGUAGAAGCAGAUCGGGAUUUAUUUUAGGUCGAUUACGUCGUAUUGCUAGCAACUAACCAUUUCCUAACAUUGUCUGCAGUUUUGAGAAAACUAGCGUGUGUCAAUUUCAGGAACUUUACAGGAAAUUGUCUUAUGCUUCAACCUGAACAUUCACUAGAGCCAUUUGAUCCAUAAAUUGAAAGGACUUUAUUGAGAAGAAUAAGAGAGAAUCAAACACGGUUUCAAGUUGCUGAAACUUUGCAAGAUCAAGAAGAAGAAAAGAUGCCUGAUCCAGUAGCUCUGCUCAGGGACUUGUGGAUCCCAAGAGAUCAUGGGAUAUCAGGAGAAAUGGUGCAACCAAUUAUUUAGGCGAACAAUUUUGAAUUGAAGCCUACUCUGAUUAACAUGGUACAAUAGUCCAGAUUUGGUGGAACAGCUUUAGAAGACCCACAUGAGCAUAUAAGGACUUUCUUGGGGUAUUGUAACACCCUCAAGCAAAAUGGAGUUUCACCGAGGGCUAUCAGAUUAUCACUAUUUCCAUUUUCCUUGAGAGAUGGAGCAAGAGUAUGGCUUCACUCAUUGCCUGAACAUCUGAAGGAUACUUGGGAGACUUUAUUGCAGACAUUUCUUGAGAGAUACUUUCCACCAACAAAAGCUGCUGAAUACAGGGACAAGUUAACAAGGUUCACUCAAUAUGAUGGAGAGAGUUUGUAUGACGCAUGGCAAAGAUUCAACUCUUUAAUCAGAAUGUGUCCUUAUCAUGGUUUAGAAAGAUGGCUGGUGUUACAAACCUUUUACAAAGGACUGUCUACUCAGACUAGAGCUUUUGUCGAUUCUGCUGUUGGAGGAGGAAUCAUGAACAAAACCCUUGAUGAAGCAUUUGCAUUGAUUGAAAGUAUGGCGUCUCAUCAUUUCCAAUGGUCAAGUGAAAGAGCAAUAGCACCACCACAUCUUGGUGUGUACAAUGUGUCUGCAAAUGAUAGCAUGGCGGCUCAGAUUGACAUCUUAAACAAGAAGAUGGAUAGUAUCAUGUCAAAUUGCAUCGGUACAUCUGUAGCUUCAGUAAGUGUGCCUCAAAUGUGCGAUGUAUGUGGCCAAGCAGGUCAUCCUUCAACAGAAUGUACCUUCUAUUCAGCAAUUGGAUCAUCGGUUUCAGAAGUAAGUUAUGCCCAAAGUCAAGGUCCAUUCUCAAACAGCUACAAUCCUUCAUGGAGGAAUCAUCCAAACUUGUCGUACAAGAACAAUCAGUCAUAUGCAAGUGGAUCGACAAUACAAGGAAAUCGACCACCAAAUCAUCCAAGUCAAUUUCAAGUGCCGAGGCAGAAUGAACAAAAAAAUGUUCAGUCAAAUGGAAUGGAGGAAAUCAUGAAAAUGCAGUUGGAAUUGAUGAGCAAGAUGACAAAUGAAGUUAAUGGCUUAAAGGAUAAUGUUAAGAUGCUUGUGAGCAAAAUGGAUAGUAUGGUGGGAGAAAAUGAAGCAAGGCUGCCUGCGCAACCAAUUCCAAACCCGAAAGCUCACUAUGGGGCAAUAUCUUCAGUUGAUGCAGUGACUACAAGGAGUGGAGUUAUGUCAGGACCAUUACUACCUACUCCGAAGACAUAUGUCCCUCCUGCUAUGAGGCCAAGUUCAUCCGGAACUCCACCUUUAACAUCAUCGGAGAAACUAAAGGAGAAAGAAGUUGAUAACCGAAUUGAAACUGAAGUCGAAUUUCCUGGUUUUCAAACAAGAGCUGAGCCUUUGCUAGAGGAAGCAAUAACAACCAACAACAUUCCUUUUCCUGAGCGGUUCAACAAAUCCAAAGAUGACAAGCAAUUUGCCAAAUUCUUGGAAACUAUGAAGGGAGUUCAGAUUACCAUUCCUAUUCUUGAAGCUGUCCUGCAUGUUCCAAUGUAUGCCAAAUAUUUCAAGGAAUUGCUAACAAAGAAAAGAAGCAUGUCUGAGCCAGAAGUAGUGACUUUAUCAAAGGAAUGCAGUGCGAUAAUUCAGAAUUCCAUGCCUGAAAAAUUGGAUGAUCCAGGAAGCUUUUGUGUUCCAUGUGUGAUUGGAAACAAAACUUAUAGUGCUCUGUGUGAUUUGGGCUCAAGUGUUAGUGUGUUACCACAUUCAGUUAGCAAAAGGAUGAUCUUGGGAGAAUUAAAUCCAACAGCCAUAACUCUUCAGUUAGCUGACAGAACAUAUAGGAAACCUGUUGGAAUUCUUGAGGAUGUUCCAAUCAAAGUUGGGAAGUUUGCUUAUCCGGUUGACUUUGUAGUGCUAGAUAUGGAGGACAAAAGUGAGGCUGUGAUCCUUGGAAGACCAUUUUUGGCCACAGCUGGUGCACUUAUUGAUGUCCAAGAAGCUAAAUUGAGCCUGAGGUUUGGAAAUGAAAAGGUGGAGUUUGACAUGAAGCAUGCAACACAUGUUCCGCAAGAAGAAAAGCACUGCUACAAAAUUGAUACACUACAGAAAUGUGUGGAAGAAGGCUAUGAAGAGAGGUAUUGAAGUAAUUGUUGUGAAGUAGUUGAGGAGGACAAUAGUGAAAUAAGAUAUGAAGAAAUCAGACCUGUUAGCAUAUUGGAAAGCAGUACAAGGCCACUAGAUAAGAUGCAACCAAGGCAAAUAGAAAUGAAACAACUUCCGGAAAGUUUGAAAUAUGCAUUCUUAGAUAAUGACAAUCAGUAGCCAAUUAUCGUGAAUAGGGAGUUGACGGAAAGGCAAAUAAAAGUGCUUCAAGCAGUUUUGCAAAAGUACAAGGAUGUUAUUGGAUAUUCAAUUGAAGAUAUGAAAGGGAUAAAUCCUGCUGUCUGCUCUCAUAGGAUUUACUUGAAAGAAAGCAGUGUACCAAUUAGAGAAAGUCAAAGAAGAUUAAAUCCCCAUUUGCAAGAGGUUGUUAAAAAGGAGAUUCUUAAAUUGCUCUCUGCCGAUAUCAUAAUACCCAAUUUCGGACAUCGAGUGGGUGUGUCCCAUUCACAUGGUGCCCAAGAAAGGAGGAAUAGCUGUCAUUGAAAAUGAACAAGGGCAAACGAUUCCUAGUAGGACUAUCACAGGGUGGGGAAUGGUCAAUGAUUUCAGAAAGUUAAAUGAAGUGACGAGGAAGGACCAUUUUCAUUUACCUUUCAUUGACCAAAUGCUGGAAAGGCAUGCUAGGCAUGAAUAUUUCUGCUGCUUAGAUGGGUAUUCAGGAUUCUUGCAAAUCCCAAUUCAUCCGGAUGAUCAAGAUAAAACAACUUUCACUUGCCCAUACGGAACAUUUGCUUACAAAAGACUAGCCUAUGGACUUUGUAAUGCACCCCCAACAUUUCAAAGGUUUAUGCUCUCUAUAUUCUAUGAUAUGAUAGGAAUCAAAGUGGAGGUGUUCAUAGAUGAUAUUACAGUCGUUGGGAAAAGUUAUGAGGAUUGCUUGAAUAAUUUGGCAGCAGUUCUUCAGAGGUGUUCAGAACACAAUCUAGUCUUAAACUGGGAGAAGUGUCAGUUUCUUGUGAAGGAAGGAAUUAUUUUGGGACAUUUGGUAUCUGAAAGAGGAAUUGAGGUUGAUCAAGCAAAAGUUGAAGUAAUACCAAAACUUCCACCACCUGUAAAUGUGAAGGGAGUAAGGAGCUUUUUGGGACAUGCUGGGUUCUAUAGAAGAUUCAUAAAGGAUUUCUCCAAGAUAGCCAAACCCCUCACUAAUCUCCUAAACAAUGAUGUUAAGUUCAACUUUGAUGCAGAAUGUGAAAAAUCCUUCAACUUGCUCAAGGAAGCAUUGGUCACUGCUCCAGUAGUGCAACCCCCUGACUGGGAAUUACCAUUUGAGAUAAUGUGUGACACAAGUGACUUUGCUGUGGGUGAAGUACUGGGACAAAGAAAAUGAAAGAUUUGCAUGUAAUAUACUAUGCUAGCAAAAAUCUUCAUGGUGCUCAAGCUAAUUACACAACCACAUAAAAGGAGUUGUUGGCAGUAGUGUAUGCCUUUGACAAAUUCAGGCAAUAUCUUGUAGGGUCUCAUUGUGUAGUUUACACAGACCACGCUGCAAUUAGAUAUCUACUCAGCAAGAAAGAAGCCAAGCCAAGGUUAAUUAGAUGGAUACUCUUGCUUCAAGAAUUUGAUGUGGAAAUCAAGGAUAAGAAAGGAGCUGAAAAUGUUGUGGCAGAUCACUUGUCGAGGUUGCAAAACAAUGCAGUAGACUCCUUACCUAUCAAUGAUGUUUUACCAGGGAGCAAUCUUAUGCAAGUGACUAGUAUACAAAAUUAUACACCAUGGUAUGCAUAUAUAGUUAAUUAUCUGGUCUGUAACAAAGUCCCUACAGAUUUUGGGUAUCAAAAGAAGAAGAAAUUCUUAUCAGAUAUGAAGCACUUCUUUUGGGAUGAACCUUACUUAUUCAAACAUUGUGCUGAUGGCAUUGUUCGAAGAUGCUUGCCGAAGGUGAAGCUAAAAGUGUGAUCUAUCAUUGCCAUUCAUCCCCUUAUGGAGGUCAUGCAAGUACUAGGAAGACUCAAGCGAAAAUUUUGCAAGCGGGAUUUUACUGGCCAACUUUAUUCAAGGAUGUACAUUCCUAUAUUGAAGCUUUUGAUCCUUGUCAGAGAACUGGAAAGAUUUGAAAAAGGCAAGAGAUGCCUCAAAAAGGAAUUCUUGAAGUAGAGCUCUUUCAUGUAUGGGGAAUUGAUUAUGUUGGACCCUUGCCAUCAUCAAAAGGGUACAAAAUACAUAUUGGUGGCAGUGGACUAUGUGUCAAAAUGGGUUGAGGCUGUACCAACCGUCAAUGCUGAUUCCAAGUCAGUUUGCAAUUUGUUCAAGCAAGUGAUCUUUCCAAGAUUUGGUGUGCCACGGAUUGUUAUCAGUGAUGGAGGAACACAUUUCAUCAACUCCCAACUACAAUCUCUCUUAGCAAAAUAUGGAGUUCAUAAUCACAGAAUUACAACUCCAUAUCACCCGCAAGCAAAUGGACAAGUGGAGUUGUCUAAUAGAGAAAUAAAGGCCAUUCUCGAGAAGGUAGUAUCAAAGUCAAGGUCUGACUGGGUACUGAAAUUACCAGACACACUAUGGGCAUAUAGGACAGCCUAUAAAACACCAAUAGGAAUGUCACCAUUCAGGUUAAUAUAUGGAAAAGCAUGCCAUCUACCCAUUGAACUUGAACACAAAGCUCAGUGGGCACUAAGGAAACUCAAUAUGGACCUUGAUGCAGCAGGAAAAUACAGAAAACUUCAACUCUGUGAAAUGGAAGAACUGAGAGCUGACUCUUAUGAGAGUGCAAGAAUAUACAAAGAAAAGACCAAGAUCUGGCAUGACAAGCAUAUAUUGAGGAAAGAAUUUCAUCUUGGACAGUUGGUAUUGGUCUAUGAUACUAGGUUUCAUUUAUUUCUUGGUAAAUUCAAGUCAAGAUGGUAUGGCCCUUGCAAGGUGAAGAAGAUUCUGCAAAAUGGUGCUAUUCAAGUGCAAAGUACUUCUGGAGGUCUCUUCCUUGUAAAUGGUCAAAGACUGAAGCCCUACAUCCCUGGAGAUCCACUUCUUAUUUCUGAAGAUGAGAAUGCAAGCGAAGAUCAAGACCCAGAGGAGGAAAUUCAAGAAGGUGAGGGGACCCAAGAGGUGUCAAUCCCUGCAGGACCCUGACCUCACUGACAAGACAUGGUCGAGCUAAAGACCUAAAACAAGCGCUUUUCAGGAGGCAACCUAAAUCUUUAAUAAGUUAUUUUCCUUAUUUAGUUUUCAUAGAUUUUUUCUUGUGUUUAUGUCUUUCUUUUUCAACAAAUAAAGGCGAGGGGAGCACAAACAGGGAACACAAACAGAGAAGAGUGGAGAGAAGAAAGUAGGAGAGAAGAGUAUACAAAUACCAGGUGAUUCUGUUCCACCUGAAGCAACCUUUAGAAAAUUUAGUACGAGAACUGGCAUUUAAUUGCAUUGAAACUCUUUUUUGCAUUGUGACACCUUACUCUUCACUGCAAAGUAGGAUUCACUCCAAGAAGAUUGUUGAUUCUCUUAAUACUAAAACUAUGCAGCUGUAUUCUUCUUAUGGUAAUUUGUGAUAAUGAAUACUUUAUACCUCCAUAUAAAUGUUCAAUGGGAAUGCCUUGAGUCUAAGUGAAACCUACUAAUGAAUUGAAGUGUUGUGUCUGACUGUCCCAAGUUAAGCUAAGUAACUGGUGGCACUUAAGUAGUAGCUAUGAUCUCUGGAUCUGUAGUCUGUGAAAAAUAGUGCCACUAGCUAUGGAUUCCUCUUUCAAUUAUUCCUAUUUUACUUAAGCUAAGUAAUUUUCAAAUAACUAAAUAAAAUAAUUAUAAUAAUUUAAGUCCGAUCGACCUACAGUAGCAUGUCAUGUUCUCGGGAUCGGUGGCUUGUGAAAUCUGGUAGAUUGGACUGUAAAAACAAAUUAUAUAAAAAAUGCUAUUAUUGUCGAACCAGGUGUAUACCAUGUUAUCGGGAUCGGUGGUAUGUUCCUUUGGGGAGAUAAUAACAAAAAAUAUAUACUAAUAAUUUGUCGAACCAGGUGUAUACCAUGUUCUCGAGAUCGGUGAUAUGUUCCUUUGGGGAGAUAAUAAAAAAAUAUACUAAUAAUUUGGUCGAGCCAGGUGUAUACCAUGUUCUCGGGAUCGGUGGUAUGUUCCUUUGGUGAGACUGAUAUAAUUUCAUCACUUGUGCUUUAAUUUCAAUAAGUAACUUGUUUUUCUAAUUGAUUUUGGGGUCCCAGCUUAUCUCAGGGCUGAAGACAGAGCCAGCUCUUGAUUAUUAGGAUGCACUUUGACUCAAGGCCAUUGACACGGAACAUUUACAGUGUGUUAUAAAUUAUUGCUUAUCACAAUUUAGCUUCAGUAGAGUACACUUGCUUAGUUCAGUAUUGUCGGAAUUACUAUCUAUCGGAAAGUGCAUCUUUACUAGGCAGUGUGAGUUGUGUCACCAUCAUUUUUUUCCUUUGCUUGAGGACAAGCAAAAAAUUGAGUGUGGGGGAAAUAAAUUGAUAGCACAUUUAUACAUAUAGUACUUUUAGCCUUUUUGAGUCACAAAUUAAACAUAUGAUCUCAGUAAUCACUCAUAAAGUAUUCAUUCCUACAGAAAUAUUCCUAUUGUGAUAUUUUUACAACACUUAUUCAUUUUUUGCAGGACUGGUGCGUUUAGGUACCCAAAUUUCGUCGAAAAUGCUUUCAACACUAAAGCGGGGAUCAACUUGGAGAAGAGUUCAGUUCUCAAGGGGGCAACACCGAAAAGUACCAGAGGAGCUGGGGUCUGGCGCGACACACCAGACGUGGUGUCUGAUCCUACGCGCGACUGAACCACCAAGAAGAGGAGUGGGGGUUGAAGGAAAAAUAACCAGGGGGCUGACUGCUCUCGCUCUCCAUGCUGCUCACCUACCACCAGAUCGAACCAGAGGAACACCAGAUUGGAGGGGGAGAAAAAGGGGAUCGAGGGAAGCGAGAAGGAGAACUAGAUCGAAUCCAAGACUCCUUUCUUCCUCUCCACGCUACUCACCCACGAUUGGAUCGAAGGAGGGAAGAGAAGGGAUCAAGGGGAACGAGAGGAACCAGGAGAGCGAGGGUUUCGGGAGGCUGGCGGCCUGGCUUAUCCACCGCGAGGCCUCUCCGCCCUGACCGACGCCCGCGCUGCUCUUCUCCGCCCUACCCCGAUGACCGCUCCUGCUCUUGCUCCAACCUCGAUGACCGCUGCCGCUUCUGCUCCAACACCGACGACCGCGCUGCUCUGCUUCAACUCCGUCGCCCGUUGCUGCUGUUCUUCUGCCAUAGAUCGUCUCCAAUGUGCCCCUGCUGUUCUUCUUCGCCUGCAACAUCUACAGCUUCGAAUUGAAGAUCACCAAGACCAUAGGCUCUGAACUUCUCUCUUCUCUUGUUCCUGUUCUCUGAGUAUAUGCACCGUUGGGUCUGAAAUUUACUCUGUUACCUGUGCACCUUUGCUGAACCCUCAUGUAUCCUUGCUGAAUUGCUGUGAUCCUUGGCUGGAUAUUAAGUUAGUAGUUAUUCUCCUGUGAGCUGCUGUCACUUUAAUUGGUUGCAUGAGUUGUGUGUGAUAUCUGAACCAUAUUACAUGUGCUAGUGUUACUUGUCUGUUUUCUUACAAGAAAAUCACUAAAAAGAGAAAGUCCUAUUUCUGAACCCUUUUACCCUUGUUG